RNAcentral lists this long non-coding RNA (44432 nucleotides) under Theobroma cacao (cacao). Its description in RNAcentral is "long non-coding RNA (TCAC_LNC000681)". The record is from RNAcentral. Lineage: Eukaryota; Viridiplantae; Streptophyta; Magnoliopsida; Malvales; Malvaceae.
CCCCUUUCUAGUUAAUAAUUGUUGUAUGGCAGUCCUGACCCUGGCUUCUUCCAUAGCCUCAGCUGUAAUCAGCAUUCACGGCAAGGUAGCAGAUAAGCACCAAUCCAUGCAACUGCUGUGUCCUUUCACCAUCUCUCAGCAAUUUCAUCAAAGGCUUUACAGCGUUGAACUCGAUCAUUGUCCUUGAAUGCGCUUUGCAAAGAUAAUUGCCUGGAUAGGCAAAUUUUUGUUAAGCAACGAUAGCUUCCGUUGCCACUUCUUGGUGCAGAUUGCCAAGCUGCGACACCAAAACACUAAUCACGUGAUGACUUUCUCGUUUUUUGAAAAUUCUCGCUAAGGAACCGAUCGAUUUGAUGGCAGGAACUUGCAGUUUAGGGUGAUCCUCUAAUUCUUUAAUCACCCUUAAGAGCUGUUCAACGAUAGCUUCUGCACGAGGAGAAUUGGUCUUAAAUGUUUUGCAUCUAAGAUCGAGAUCCGAUUCGGCUACGGCAGUGAUUUCCAUUAUAGUCAUCAAGCAAUUGUACUGGAAUUCACCAUCCUCCGCUUCCACCAACUUAGCCAAGCAAAACAUUAAUGCUUCUGUCUCGUCUAUCAUCCUACUACUAUUUAGAACGCUCCCAACGUUAAGCAUCGAUAAAGCUUCCGCACAACAUAUUUUCAGCUCAAGUGGAGAAGUUUCACUCAGCAUUGGGGCUAGCUGCCAAAUCAAUUUUUCUGUAACCAUGCAAGACCAGGCCGAAAGAGUAGAUGAAUCGUUGCCGAGGAAUUGAGGCAACGAGAGAAAGAUUUCAUCAAAGGCGCUGCCGAAAUCGGGGUUGUACAAGAUAAGAAGACACUUCAUGGAUUCGAUGGAAACGUCUAAAAGGUGGUAGAGCUUGUGGAUAGUGGUGGCUAAUUUUGAUUUUGUGCCGGUAAAGAGUCGGCAAACUGAUGGUUUUGCGUCUACACUUGCAGGCCAGGGUUAAGCCUCCUGAAAGAUCUUUUUGUAUGUUCAUUGUCUUGUAAGUUUUAUUUAAUUUUUUAGAUAAUUAAGAAUUAAAUAAUAUAUAAAAGUUUUUUUUUUAACUAUUAGUGUUUUUUUCUGUUUGGCCUCCUUUUUAAACAUAUUCUAGCUCCACCGUUGUCUAUAUCCAUUGUUCCAAAUCAAUCAAGCAGGUUCAAAUUUCUAGCACUUAUUUCGAUUUUUUUUUAUAAGUCAUUUUAGAUUUCAUUAAAUAAAGGGUUGCUCUCUUUGAAACAAAAUAAACGGUUGCUCAAUUCCGUAAACUUCCAAAACGAACUGACAACCGUUUUGAAUUGAUAGUAAAAUAUGGAAUAUUUUUUUAUUCACGAUGCCGUGUGAGGAUGAUGAUUCUCACUUGGCUAACUGCUUCCAUGCCAAAAUUAAAGACAUCUGCACCUUUUCUAUUUUUAUCUAGAACCAUCAAGACCAUAACAUAACUAAAAUUUUAUAAAAGGAGUUAUAUAUUACCUUUUUGCUUAAGAAACUAUGAAUUAAUCAUAAUAGUCAACUACUGCAAUUUGAUUGGUUAUGAGUUUUCCUAAUUUUCUAGACUAGAUUAAGACUAACUGACUAACUAGUAAUGUUUCAACCCUUCACUUUGCUCUUGUUUUUUUUUUUUUUUGUGUGCGGUCAGAUAUGUUGGUGUUGUCAUCGAAAAAUUUUAUUGCCAAAUCCUAUAGUUGCGUGUCAUUUUUGGUAUCUUGUAAAUGGAAUGAGACUAUUCCUCCGGUUAAUUCAUUUUUUCUUUCAUCGUCCAAACACCUGGUUCAAAUUAAGUAACCAGGCAAAAAAGGUUGGCAUUAUUCUGGAAUGAAGCCCAAGACUCAUGGUAAUCUCUUUCCAAUUACCCAUUGAUCAUAAGCAAACUUAUAGCUCGGGCUAGGCGUAGGAUUCAUAGUAAUGAUGCCGUUCAAUUUAAUUUUCUCCAAGACAAAUUUCUUAUUCAAAGGGUCAAACGUAGCAGAAAGACAGACAUCCGGAAAGGCCCUGACCAAUGCGUGUGGUUGAUAGUUUUUGUUCAAUUCCACAGUCAAGGUGGGUUUUGAUUGGGCACCGGCCACACGGGCAACGUAUUCCAGUCGCUUUCUGAGUCCACUAUUUGAUUUUCUGACCUCAAUUGAACCUUUCUCUAGCAAAGUUACCUUUUUGUUAUUGAGAUUGUGUUCACACCCAGUACGUUGCCUCUAGUCGACUUGACUCUUUGUUGCAUAAAUUUGUCAGCUAAGUACUGUUACCUUGGUGCCACCAGCGUUGUUUGAUAUGGACAGUAGAAACUCCACCAUUUGCUUAUAAUUUCUCUUUUUUUUAAAUAACAUUGGCUUAUAAUUAAUUUUGAUUCAUGUAUUUUCAUUAAUUUAAUCUGUAUACUUAAAAUUUAAUCAAUUUAAUUUAUCGAUUUUGAAAAUUAAAAUAUUUUAAUUUUUUAAUAUCAUUAAUAUUUAUGAUUAAAAGUGAUUACAUUAAUAUUGACUUGAUAAAUUUUAACAUGCUGAUAUAAUAAUAUUAUGUGACAUUGACAUAAUAACGUGAUAAUAUAUUAAAAUAUAAAUUUCUUCCCUGUUUAGCAUGGACAAAUUAGAUUCGUGGCAAUUGAUACCCUUGGAAUCUAAUUUUUCCACAGGGUAAAAACAUAGUAGAAAUGCAGACAUGACCCUUCCCGAAAGGCUUUUACCAUUGUUCUAGAAAGGCAUUUCGAUCUAGUCAUCAAAAAUUCAUUUUCGAUCAGUUUCUUUCUAGAAGGAGACAAAGACACUUCCAUCAUUGGACUGCAUCAAAUAAUCCGUUCAAAGUACCUUACCAGUUUUGUUCAUUUUCAACAUGUUUGAUGAUUGGGCACUAACCGCAAGUGCAACCAAUCCCGGUUGCUUUCAAAUCCAUUUCACCAAUUCCACUCCUCAACUGUAAUAUUUGUUUUAUUCGGUUAUUUGCACAAUUUAAUUUUAGUUUUAUGGUUAUUAUAUCUAUUAAAUUACCAACUUAAUGAUUUAUCUAAUUGUGAUCUAAUUACUUGUUAUGAAUUGCUGAGAAAAAAUUACUUGUUAUGAGUUAAGAAGCAACUUGACGUCUUUAAAAAAUUAAAAUGUAUAAAAGUUGAUGUUAAUGGGAAACUUAGUUUGUUAUAGCUUAGCAAAAAACAAAAAGAAAAAAAAGAGAAGGAAGAACCCUUCGUGCAUCAUAACUAAUUGAUAAAAAAAAGAAGAAUUUAAAAAAAAUUACUGUAAAGAUGAACAUUCAACAAAGUCAUGACAAGGUACUCAAUCAGCCCCAAAUCACCAACCAAGAAAUAAGAGAAAAUUUAGGAACAUGGCAUUGUAAUCAGAUCAGCUCAUGCCAAGUAAAUUUUGGGUUUCUUUUUUUUCCGAGUCAACAGUAGAAUUUUAUUGAGUACCAGAAAUUUGAUAAGACUUAUCAACAAAGAAUCAGUGAAAGAGAAGGCAUCCCCCGGUACAUAGCUGCCUGGAAAUAGUGAAAUACGUAACAGCCAACAUCGGGCAGAGAGUGUAUAAAACAUCAUAAAAAUGCCACCUGGGAAGAAUACAGCAGUGCAAUAAUCAUACAGCAACUUUCAUCGCUGGGGUGAAGGCUUCUGCUAGAGAGAUAGCUUAUCAUGCAGUCAAGCAAGCUCCUUCAGAGUUCGGGUAAAAUAGCAAAGUACACCAAAUACCGGAGAAGAUCAGAAGCCAGAAUACAGAGUGGGCAAGCCCCAUAGCAUAGUGCCAGAAAUAAGAUGCCAGCAACAGCACAAUGUUACAAUGUAGAUCACACGGAUAAUAACACCAGCAUCAAUAUGUUCUCAAAAUGCACAUAAAACUGACAGGGGCAGACGACAUAAGAUGGCAGCGGUAGCAACACAGGUUGUCAUGUAGAUAGAACAGAGCAAGUGGCAGUUUAUAAACACACUGUUGGUUGGGAAAACUCUGUUAAAACACAAGCCAUAUCAAACCGAAUUCCAACAGUUUUGGAUAAAACAGGAGCAUGAGUCAAUUUUUGGUUUCUUGCUUGUUUCAAUUGUCAAUUGUUUGAGUUAUGAUUUUGUUUUCCACUACCUCUUUCUUUUGUUCUGUAGAAAAUUUUGAAACCCAGAAAGUAAAUAAUGAAAAAUUAAGUAACAAAAAGGUAUUAAUCAAACAAAAAUUACAGAAUCUUUAAUCUAAAAUUACAAAGGUACUAGUAAAUAAAAACAUCUGAAGCAUACAAUAUUUAUACAAAUCCAUGAAUUUUAGAUCCGCCUUGUGCUUAUGAAAGAAUCACUAUUACCACAAUGAGAAUUAGGAAAUUACUCAAAGUAAAAAAGGAAAAUAAAAAUGGAACUGAACAUCAACAAGCGAAACUAUUGAAAUUCGAUCAUUCAACAAAACUAUACUAGUAAUUAAUCUGCUACAUAAUUUUUAUUUGGCAAGAUGAAUGAGAUUGUUAGAAGAUGAGCACAAGAAGCACCAAUUGGUGCUUCUUCUGCUCUUCCUCUGAUACAGAAUACGUGGGUGCUUCAAGCUUUGGAGCAAGGAACUAGGUAUUUGGCUACCUAGGUAUUUCCCCAUGAAAACAACAAGAUCUGGCUGCAACCAAGAAAUAAUAGCAAAUGCUAAUUAGUUUACCAACAAAAAAGAACUUGUAUGGAGAACUCACUGAUGUAGGCUGAAAUAACAAGAUAGUUAGCUCCAUAUCCUGUUGAAAGGGUUGAGUUUUACCGGCCGACGAACUGACAAUAAAGUUGGAUCUGAUUAAUCCACCGGCCCCCUUUAAGGAUCAAGGGAUGAGCUUUAAAAGCAGGUCAACGGGUGGGCAACGACUUGGGCUUGAGAAAGACAAAAAAAAACAAGUCCUUUAUGGGACUUUUCAAUGCCCCUAAGGGUUAAUCAAAUCAUAAAAUAUGAAAUCAAACAGCUACUUUAAUCCAUCAUCUCCACCGGCAAAGAAAGAAACCAAUCAUCUUCAAAAAAAAAAAGAAAAACAAAAACAAAAACUCUUAGAAAAAACCAAAACUGUAGAUCCUUAACUCACAAGUUUACAAUUAUUACUAUAUAAUACGAUAAACAUGGAAAACAUAAUAAAACAAAAAAACAGAACCCAAAAGAUUAAAAAGCAUGUAAAGUAUGUUAAAAUUACUCCUUCAUUAUUCUCCACAACCCAAUUCUCCAGAAACUAUAGUUAAAUAGUAGCGGGAGAUAAAACAAGACGAGACAAUACGAAAUUGGACUGAUCAACAGAAGGCCUUAUUCAGCAGAAUUCACUUUGGACUAUGACCCUCCACCUUGACAGGCUUGGAGAAGCUCCCGUACUGCUGUUCUAUCUCUCUUUGAACUCGUAACUUCCUACCAUGGUUUUGAGUGAGCAAACACUGCCGUCUAUCGUAGCGGCAACGGGCUGUGCCAAAGUCAGAUCUAAAUUCGCUACUCCGUCAUAUGGACUGGGUUGUCCUAGAACCAAGUCCAAGCUAACCCUUCCAGUACUUGUGGAAUAUGCUUCUCCAACAGCUUGACUAGUGCAAUAGGCGGCCAGUGAACCACCCCCAUUGAGAUCAAAGGGCGCCUUGAUGUCUCUCUCUUCUUUGGUCAUAUAGCAUGCAUGGAGCGGUGGUUCACGCACCAUGGUAAUGCAAAUACCCAACUUCGUUUCUGUCUCAUGUUCAAGCUUGAAGUAAGGGUUACUAGUCGCUUCAUCAAUCACACUAGUGGCAAAUAUCCCUCCAGGUGGUUUGGCAAUAACAUGAUCAACGAAAGGGACCGGUGCAUCAGCUGCAGCAUCGGCUAGUUCCAUGAAAGCUCCCUCCUGUUUGACUGGUGCAUCAGCCUUACGACGUUGCUGUUGCUUGUGCCUAAAGUUGCCGAUUUUUGUGCGGCUUGUGCCAGUGGUUUUAUCUAUCUCAUGAUUUGAAGAAAGAGCCCCAGCAGAAAGAGCCGCGGAUGGUGUGGCUGGCUUCUCCACUUCAACCCUAUAGUGGAAAGCGCCUGCUUCAUCUUUCACUUUGUACACGGUGAGUUCCUCGCCAACAUGGAAAUCAUUGCAAAUAACAAAAUUUCUCCAACCACGAGAGAAAACAGGUUUCUUGUACCCAUUCUUGCGGACAGAGCAGACAAUUGGCCACAUCUUUGUGCCAUACAUAAGGGGAAUUGUCACGGCAUGGCUUCUAUUGAAAUCUGGUAAGGAAGGCAGGAGUUUUACCGGGAUCGCCAACCUUUUUUUUAUGUCAGUGUCAGUCAGUGACUUUGAGAACAUCUUUUUUGCUUGAGGCAUGGUGGCUGGUGGGAAAAGGCUGUCUGAAACUUUUAGUACUUCUAGGUUAGGAAGAGAUAGUGGUAGGAAUCCUGCUACAUAUAGAAACACAAACGAGCUACGUCCAGCAUUGUAAAUCCCAAAAGAGAUCGAGGGUAAAUGGUAAAACGUUUUCCAUUGGGGGAAUCAGCAUUUGGUGCCUGGAAAUUGGAAACCUAGUGACAUAGUUUUCUACGUUAACAAAAUAAUUAUCUUAUCCGAGAUAAGCGUCCAUUAGACAGCUUUUGCUCCAAGUGUGAAAGUUUGAGGGCUAAAACGGUAAAAUCGGUUAUAUACUUAUGUUCGCUGCUGUCAGAAAUCAACAGCCACUCAUCGACACGUCGAUAACUCAUGUUCCACUCAGCAACAACGUCCAUUGGUUUUCUGUUGGUCCAAGUGUGAAAGUGCACCCCCACCAAAAAAUUGCCCCUCUUCUUAAUAAAUAAUGCGUAGAAUCAAUUCAAUACAAAGCGUUAUGCGUAUUUCACAUGCUUAUUCCACGUAGACGCCCGCCAGCUCGUCGUCGAUGCUGUUUGUCGUUGUCAAUGCAGCCCGUGAAGCUGAAACCGCCCACUAAACUGAAACAGCCCAUUAGAAUCAAACAUUGAAAGUAUAUAAGCCUCGCAGUCAAUGAUCACGACUUCUAGUUGUUUAAUAUUGGAGCUUUGGAUGUGCCACCGGAUUCUAAUUUGCUUCACAUCUAUACAACAUUUCAUGCCCAAAAGUUCAAAGCAUGACGGCCUAUCAAGCACAACGGCCUAUCAAGCAUUUGAAAAGUUCAAAUGAUUAUGGAAGAAAGCAACAAGCGAGGUGGUGAAAACUAGCUCAAUACUGCCAGUGGCAUAUAUAACCAAAGUCUUUUAUAUUCGAUUGUUCAAACAUUGGAAACUUGCAAUCUUUUGUGGGGCCUUUGAUUAGUAGGAUGGUGGGCGCCAAGGAUGUUAAAGUGAGUUAUCUAGCUUAUUAAACAUUGAAGAUGUUAUUCAAGUCCAGAUUGAUAAAACAGAGUUUCUGAGUAUUGAAGAUUUGGUUGAAUUAGAACUCUUGUGUUUAGAAGAGUGGAUGAAGGAUAGUACACGUGUAACAUUUAUGUAAGAUGGUGUAAUUUUAAGAAUUAUAGUUUACUAAUAAGUUUUAUCGUGCUAUAAAUAACUUUUCAAGUUAGUUGUUAGUUGUAUAGUUAGUUGAGAAAUCAACUUUUUUAUUGGCUGAGAGAUUUUGUAUGUAAACCUUUUAAUGAUUGAUUUCAUUAAUAAAAAAUUCAGUUUACAAUUCACUGACUUGCUUCAUCGUCUUCUCAAGCUUUUCUUCUCUAGUUUUGUUUGGUUUUAUCAUGGUAUCAGAGAAAAUUAGGUUAGGGAUUCUGAUUUUCUCAUUACACAUUUUUAAUCAGUAAGUGAUUUGUUUUCCAUUUUUUUGGAAUAUCUGUUGAAUUUCAGUUUUGAGCUUGAAAUUUCUAAUUUCGAUGGAAGAAUCUACAGUUUCUAAGACUAUAAUUUCACCGACUCUAGAUCCACAAUCACCUUAUUUUUUGCAUCAAUCAGAUCAUUCUAGUUCAAUGGUUAUUACUCUUAAGCUUAGUACCAACAAUUAUGUUCCAUGGAGUUGAUCUUUUGUUUUAGCCAUUUCGAUUAGAAAUAAGCUAUGUUUUCUCCAUGAAACCAUUAGAAAGCCCACUGUAACAGAUCCUUUGUUUGAUUCAUGGACUAGAUGUAACAAUUUUAUUGUAGCCCAGAUCCUAGAAUCAGUCACUCUACCAAUAACGUCAACCAUAUUUUAUAUGGAUCCUGCUACUAAAAUUUGGAGUAUUCUGAAAAAAAACUUCUAACAACCUGAUGACACAAGGGUCUGCAACCCAUAAUUCACUCUAGGGAAUGCCACUCAAGGAACAAUAUAUGCAGAUAUUAUUUCAUAGAAUUGAAAAGUAUUUGGGCAGAGAUGAAGAACUGUAGACCGCUGCCACAAUGUGAGUGUGGGAAAUGCAAUCCUAAUUGCUUCAAGAAAUACUCAAAUCAGUAUAAAAAAGAUAUGGUUUUUAGAUUCUUAAAUGGCCUUAAUGAUUCCUAUUCUGCUAGAAGGUCACAGAUCAUUAUGCUAAGUCCUAUACUAGCAAGUUUGGUUAGGGGAAUAGCUUAUUCUCAAGGAAUUUUGGUUCCUUUGUUUGGUUGAGAAAUAGUCCAUGGAAUAGCCAUUCCAUAGGAAUGACUAUUCUCCAAAAUCAUCCAAAACUAAGGAAUAGCUAAUACCACCCUCUCCCAUGGUAUUAGCUAUUCCAUGAUUGAGGAAUAAACUCAAAAAAUGAUAAAGACAAAAACACCUUUUAUAAGUUUGAAAAAUUACAAUUUUAUUUGUAUAAAAUAUUAUUUUUCUCUCUCUCCUCCUUCUCUCCAUUGAUUCCAACUUUUAAUAAAAUAUUAGUAUUUUAAAAUAUUAAUAUUAAAUUUUAAAUAAAAUAUUAAUAUUUAAAUUAUCAAUUAUUAAUAUUUAAAAAUAAAUUAAAAUAAAAAUAUAUUAAUAAUUUAAUUAUAAAUUAUUAAUGUUUAAAAAUAAAUAAUCAUAAUAUCAUUUUAAUUAUAUAAACAAUAUUAAUAAUUAAAUCAUCAAUUAUUAACAUUUUAAUACAAUACCAAUUAUUAAUAUUAAAAAAAUAAAAUAAAAUAAAAUAAAAAAUUAAUCAUAAUAAUAUAUAAAUUAAAUAAAAUAUUAAUAUUUAAAUUAUCNNNNNNNNNNNNNNNNNNNNNNNNNNNNNNNNNNNNNNNNNNNNNNNNNNNNNNNNNNNNNNNNNNNNNNNNNNNNNNNNNNNNNNNNNNNNNNNNNNNNNNNNNNNNNAAAAUUAAAUUAAUAUUAUAUAUUAAAUUAUUAAUUAUUAAUAUUUUAAAUUAAAUUCUAGAUUAUUAAUAUUUUAAAAAAUCUAAUAAAAAUAAAUAGUCAUAUAAAUAAUAAAAGGUGUUUUUGUCUUUUUAUUUUCUAUUCCUUUCUUAUUCCAAAAUUAUUGUUACCAAUUAAACAUUACAAUAAGUUAUAAUAAUUAUUCUUGUCUUAUUCCUUUUGUCAUACUAAAUUAAGUAAUAACUAUUUUAUUUUAUUUUCAAUUAUUUUAUUCUAUUCUAUUCUAUUCCUGUCUAUUCCGCCAACCAAACAUAAUCUACCUACUUUGGACAAGGUUUACAGCUUGGUUUUAGGGGAGCAAACACAAAGAACUCUUUUGAUACAAGGUCAACUAGUUUUGGAAUUUGCUGCUAUGACAAUAGUGUUUGAUGAAAAGAAAAAAUUAAAAAAGGAAGUGAUUUGUUCACAUUGUAAUAAGAAGGGUUAUUCAAAAGAAAAGUGUUAUAGACUGAUAGGUUUUCCAGAGGAUUUCAAGUUCAAUAAAGGUAAAAAUGUUUAUAAGAUAGGCAAGUUAGUGAAUAGUGUUACAAUAAUGGAUAAAAAACAAUUUGCAUAAAAAGAUGAGGUUGUUGGAAAUAGCACAAUGUUUCAGAUGUCUCUCAUUAGGCAACAAGUAAGCAAGCUGAUGAGUCUUUUAAAUGAGAAUGGUAUUAGUAAUGAUGAAGGUAAGGAUGGUUCUACUUCUGCAUCCGCCUUUACAUCUAAUCAGCAAAACAAACAUUCUCUAGUCAACUCUGCUUUUUCAGGUAUUAUCUUUGGUCAUGUCUGCUUUAACAUUAAUAGUAAUCUUCCAUCCAAAUACAAAAAUGUGACAGAAUUCAUGAUUAAACACAAUUCUUGGAUUGUAGACACAAAAGCAACAAAUCAUAUUUCUUAUACCUUGGAUAAUUUUGUUUUUACAACAUCAGUAUCUAAUUGCUUUGUUGAACUUUCAAACAAAGCUAAAGCUUUUGUCUCUUAUGUAGGAACUAUUCAACUUACACCAUUUCUUACUUUACAGAUGUUUUGUGUGUUCCUAAUUUGAGGUUUGAUCUCAUCUCAAUAAGUUAGCUUACUGGUUCACAAAAGAAUUGUGUUUGGUUUACUGAUGAUUUGUGUGUUGUUCAUGAUCUAGUUUCAUGGAAGGUGAUUGGGGUAGCUAAGGUCAUUUCAGGGUUGUAUUUCAUGCAGAUGAACAAGCUCUGUCAAAACAUAGUAUUGACAAGAACAUUUCAUUAAUCAAUGUUUCUUCUAUUCACAAUUGUAUAGUUGUGCAUCCUAGCUUUGAUCUUUGGCAUUUCAGGUCAGGUCAUGCACCAAUAAAAAGAAUAAAUGUAAUAAACAAACAUUGUUCUGAUGUUCAUAGUUCUAAGCAUUUGCUUUGUGAAAUUAGUUCUAUGGCAAAAUAGAGAAAAUUACCAUUUCCUGUGCAUGCACAAACAAGUGUUAGACCUUUUGAAAUUGUUCAUGCAGAAACAUAGGGUCUUUAUGAAAUACCUAUUGUUUCUAAUCAAAAAUAUUUUCUCACCCUAGUUGAUGAUUACUCACGUUUUACUUGGAUUUUCUUGAUGAAAUGUAAAUUUGAUGUUUCAACUAUCAUUUCAAAUUUUUAUAACUUUGUCAAAACUCAAUUCAAUGCUUAUAUCAAAGUUUUGAGAACAGACAAUGGAAAGGAGUUUGAUCUUAUUGAUUUCUAUGCAAAAACAAGAAUUGUUCAUCAUUUAACCUGUGUUGAAACUCCUCAACAGAAUGGUAGAGUAGAAAGGAUAUAUCAACACAUCUCAAUUGACAUAAGAGCUUUAUUGAAUCAGUGUCCAGUUCCUCUUCAUUUUUUAGGGUUAUGCAGUUCUCACUGUUGUCCAUAUUAUAAAUAAGAUGCCUAGAGAAACUCUUCACAAUUGCACACCAUAUGAAUUGUUGUACCAAAAACCUUUUUCCUAUGAUCACCUUAGAGUUUUUAGUAGUUUAUGUUUUGUUUUGACUCCUAGUCAACAUAGGAAAAAACUUUACAAAUGGGCAAGUAAGUGUAUUUUCUUAAGAUGUCCUAAUGAUGUCAAAGGCUAUAAGGUCUAUGAUCUUGAUGCUAACAAAGUUUUCAUUUCAAGAAAUGUAGUUUUUCAUGAACAUGUUUUCCCUUUUCAUUCUUAUCAGCAGACUUCUUUUGAUCAUGCAUUUUAUCAAACAUCUUAUGUGUAUGAGUCUAAUUUUUAUUUUGUUGAUACUGUUCCUAUGCCUUCUUCUGUCCAUGCACUUAUGAAUGCUUCCACAUCUUCAACUUCUCCUCUUGAUCCUUUAGACAUACUUGAAAAUUCAAAUUCUUCAAAUUCCUUCAAAUCUAAUUGAUUAAUCUGUUUCCAGCAAACAUGUUAACUCUACAAUUUACUUUUCUGAAUCUGUUUCUUCUUAUUGUUCUGUUAUUCCUGUUGAUUCUAUACCUCCUAGAAAAAGUGAUAAAACUAGGAAAUUGCCUAAAUACUUAUAAAUUUAUGAUGUUCAUUUGCCCUCUUCUUCAAAUUCUGUCACAUCUUAUCCGAUUGCACAAUUUUUAUCUUCUAACAAGUUAUCUUCCAAACACAAAUCUUUCACUGCUUCUUUAUCUCAACUUCAUGAACCUACUACUUAUCAUCAAGUUAUUCACUAUGAUCAUUGGAAAGAGGCUAUGGCUGCUGAACUAACAGCCUUAGAGGAUAAUGGCACAUAGAGUGUAGUUCCCCUGCUUGUAGAUUCUCAUGCAAUUGGUUGUAAAUGGGUUUUCAAAACUAAAAUGAAGGCAAAUGGUAGUAUAGAAAGGUUCAAGGCUCGUUUGGUUGCAAAAAGAUACAGUCAAAUUGAAGGUUUUGAUUAUUAAGAGACUUUUAGUCCUAUUGCUAAAGAGGUAACUAUCAGGCUUUUUUUUGCCUUAGUAGCAACUCAAGGGUGGUUUUUGUCUCCGUUAGAUAUAAAUAAUGCCUUCCUUAAUGGGGACCUUGAUGAAGAAAUGUAUAUGUCUUUACCACCUGGUUAUCAAGUCAAGAGGGAGUAUCUUCCUAAUACUAAGUUAGUCUGUAAAUUACACAAAUCUUUGUAUGGAUUAAAAUAGGCCUCUACGCAAUAGAAUGCAAAAUUUACUACAGCAUUAACAGAGUAUGUAUUCAACCAGUCUUUGUCAUACUACUCUCUGUUUACUUUAAAUACAGAUAAUGGUGGUUUUGUAACACUGCUGGUUUAUGUUGAUGACAUAAUCAUUGAUUCCAAUAAUCUUCAGUUAUCAAUGGACGUCAAAACUUAUCUAAGUUCACAUUUUAAGCUAAAAGAUCUUGGAGAAGUUAAGUACUUUCUUGGACUUGAAUUAGCAAGGUCAAUUGAGGGUAUAUCAAUUUGCCAAAGAAAGUAUGCUUUGGAUAUGUUGGAAGAGCAUGGACUUCUUGGUGUAAAACCAGUUUCAACUCCUAUUUAUUAUAAUCACAAAUUAGAAAAGGCCACUGAUGAUGAACAACUAGCAGAUGCAACGCUAUAUCGGCAACUCAUUAGGAAGCUUAUCUCAGUUUAUGGAUAAACCAGGUCAGGUACAUCUUAUGGCAGCAUAUAGAGUGUUGAAAUACUUAAAAGGGUCACCCAGACAAGGAAUUUUGUUAAGCUCCAAAUCUGAUUUGCAGCUCUCCACUUAUUCGGAUAGUGAUUGGGCCAGGUAUCCUGACACAAGAAAGUCAAUAACAGGUUUUUGUGUUUUUCUUGGUGAUUCUUUGGUAAGUUGGAAAUGUAAGAAACAAUCUGUAGUUGCAAGGAGUUUUGCUGAAGCAGAGUAUCGCUCAAUGGUAGCUACAUGUUGUGAAGUGAUAUGACUGAAAUAUUUGUUUUCUGACUCUGGAAUUGAAAAUUCAACAGCCAUAAAACUAUACAUAGAUAGCCAGUCUGCCAUUCAUAUAUGCAAAAAUCCGUAUUACAUGAGAGAACUAAGCAUAUUGAAAUGGAUUGCCAUUUCAUAAGAGAAGUCAAGUCUGGAUUGAUUGAACCUAUUCAUGUGUCCACAGUAUUACAAGUUGCAAAUUUGUUCACAAAGGCUCUAUAGCCAAGAGUUUUUCACAUACUUAUGACCAAGUCAUAUGUGCAUAACAUACACAGUUCAACUUGAGGGGAUGUAUUAAACAUUGAAGACGUUAUUCAAGUCCAGAUUGAUAAAACAGAGUUUCUGAGUAUUGAGGACUUAGUUGAAUCAGAACUCUUGUGUUUAGAAGAGUGGAAGAAGGACAAUACACGUGUAAUAUUUAUGUAAGACGGUGUAAUUUUAAGAAUCACAGUUUACUAAUAAGUUUAACUGUGCUAUAAAUUACUUUUCAAGUUAGUUGUUAGUUGUAUAGUUAGUUAAGAAAUCAGCUUUUGUAUUGGUUGAGAGGUUUUGUAUAUAAACCUUUGUAAUGAUUGAUUGCAUUAAUGAAAAAUUCAGUUUACAAUUCACUGACUUGCUUCAUCGUCUUCUCAAGCUCUUCUUCUCUGGUUUUCUUUGGUUUUAUUAUAGCUAGAACCAUAAAGAGCAUAACAUUCUUAAAAACUAUGUUAUCUACGUCCUCAGGAAAUUGGGACUUUACUCCCAGCAGAUUUAAUAAGAGACAUAUAUCAAUAUAUGGUGGAUGCUCCCCAUAUUGUGAUGGUUUUGAUGUGGUCUGAUUGCUUCCGUUCUUUGCAACAUCUUAGCUGGAGUUUUUGGGAGCUAUAUUGUAACUUUUGACAAGUAUUGUAGAGGUUGUGUUGUAGUUCUUUGGUGCUUGGUCUUUAUGUUAGACGGUUUUAUCAGUUCAUCCCUGUACUUUAUUCUUUGCUUUGCUGGCUAUUUGUUAGUUUUGUAACAUCUCGAUUGCUUAAUAAAUAUUUUUAGUUUAACAAAACAUCAGUAUCCUUGGAGGGAAUUUGAUCAACUUUGCUAUAGGACAGGCUAAUUAAUUGAGGAGAUUAGUCUUUUUUUUUCUUUGUUGAGUUGACUAUAUUCUUGUUGCCAUUCAGCUAAUCUGGUUAUUUCAUCCUAGAUCAGUGAGUUCUUUAUACAAGUUUUUUUUUCUUUUUGUGGUAAACCUUUUUUUUUUUUUUUGCUCAAACAAGUUCAUAUUAUUAAUAAAAGUAAGCUGAAGCAGCCUUACAGACCAAGGAAAUGAAAUGGACAAUUGUCAUUACAAUCGCCACUAAACACCAGAACUCAAAAGAAAGAAUAAAUACAGCAUUUUGAUUUACUAGAAAUAAAUAAAAGGUGGCCUGCUCGUAGCACUCGGGAUUGCGAGGACAAGAUAGUCACAGCAAUUCUGACAAAACUGGGCAGAGGAGGUAUCUCCAAAACAGAGGUCGGCAGUGAAAUCAGCUUCACUGGUGGCUGCAGCAAUUCAAGGCCUUCUCACCAGCAUGCGCAAAACAUGGUCGAUCUGUCCACUCCAAUCUUUGCGAGAGAGUCAGCGGAAAAGUUUGCCUCGCCUCCCUGUAGAUUUGUGGUAUACUAAUUAGCAUUUGCUAUUAUUUCUUGUUUACAGCCAGAUCUUGUUGUUUUCAUAGGGAAAUACCAAGCAGGUUCCUAGUUGCUUGCUAUAUUGGCAUCAUACAUAUUGUAUACAGAUGAUUAAAACACAGUAUUCUGGUUUUUUUUCCUUUCAUUUUCAUGCUCCAAAGCCUGAAGCACCCACCUAUUCUCUAUCAGUGGAAAAGCACAAGAAGCACCAAUUGCUGCAUUGGAUACUUGUUCUGUUGACUUGGCAGCAUUUGCGUCUGGUGUACUAGAUGCUCUGACUGUGACUGCGGCUGCUGCACUUGAUUCUGUUAGUCCCAGUACAUAGACAAAAUCAAGAAAUUGUACAAUUCGUUCCUGUAACCUUAAGGGCAUUCCCAACAAAGGCAGCAAAGAGGCAGCCUAAAAGCUAAAGAAAAAAGCAAUAAGUCUGCAAAACUCAGAGAUUCUGAAGCAAAUCAAAGCAAAUAAUUUGAGAAGAGCUAUCUUUGUUAAUGCCAUCCGCUCCUCAAAAUGGUUACUAACCUUUGCCAUCAAUCCAUUCUGCUUCGGCCUGGAAUAUGCUCAUCCUUAUGUCAUCAAAUGUAGCCGGGAUGUCCAAUACAAGGCAAGACAGAGGACAGAACUGGAUAAACUACAAAUCUAUAAUGGCAAUCAUAAGAUAGAAGGACAGAGCUAGAUAAAGGCAAGGCAAUGCAUGUAUAGUUCAGUUUUGGUAUUGAGCCCCCCAUUUCCUCAAUUCUCUUUUCUGAAUGAUUUUCAUCUAUAACAGAACAGAAAGCAGACAGUCCUCAAGAAAGCUGCCAAAGCAAGACCGUCACGUUAGCUAAUGACCCACAAGAGAUCUUGUGAUCGUUGAACUCCCGAUUUGGCAAGGUCGUUUGCCAUCUCGUUUGCCGAGCUUACAAUGUGGGCAAUUUUCCAUCUUUCCAGCUGUGAAGUUUAAGGCUUGAAGAAUAAAAUUCCUCAUCCUCCAUGGAAUUGCCUGUGCAUGUAAAAUCCAGUUAACCGCAUUUGGAUUAACGAGCAGUUCUGUAAGAUUAGAGUCCAUAGUGCCAAUUGACUUAAAGAACAAUCAACAAAACAAUAUCAGCCUUCGAUGCUGGCAGCGCCAGGCUUGCCCCUCAAUGAUCCGUCAACCUUAAAUUUGGAAAUUUUCUAUGAAACAAAAGAAAUUUUUUGUUACAUCAUUUUUACUAUUCACUUUUUAUUUUUUUUCCAAAAUUUACCAUAAAUAAACAAAAUCAUAAAAUAAUUUAAUACAACUGAGACUUGAAACUAGUUGAGAAGCAAAGAAACCAAAAUGAUUUUACUUGGGGGUGGGCUGAUCUGAUUACCAUUGCCAUGUUCCUAAAAUUUCUCAUAUUCUUGGCUGCUAUAUUGAACUAAUUGAGUAACUUGUCAAUCUUUAAAUCUUGUUCUUAUUUUUUUUUUAUAUUUGAGCACGAAGUUGAAUCUCAGCAGCAAGGUAUAAUGAUUUUCUUUCAACUAGGAAAGUACGUGGUAAACUUCAACCCAUCAACAAGUUGACCCAUGUUUAUUAGAAAUUUGCCUACUUAUCCUAUGCAGAAAUGGUUGUUUCCUGAUAUCGUUAGUUAUAAAACUGUAAAUUCAUUAGGAAGCCAUGCGUCUUUCACGUGCUCAUUCCUUGUCGUUGAGGGCCAAGUCGGCCACAUUCUUUGUUGUAAGAUAAUUUUUCAGGUCAUCACACCGCCUUGUCAAAUCCGUCUCGCAACCGCCUACCCGCUUUGGAGAAAAUUAUUGGAGCUUUGGAUAUGCACAGGUAUCCGGAAUCUAAUUUGGUUCACAUUUAUACAACAUUUAGGGUACUCGUUAUUUUUCUUUUUAGCACAAAAAGCAAGAAGUUGACCAGAUUUGUCAAUAGUUAAGUAGUACCACUCGGAUAUCGUAUGCUCCCAAUGGCUUGAUGUAAGCAGUAUUGUGGGCUCAGUUUUGUGUUUUUUUUAUUUUUCUCGGCCAAAACGUGGGACUUUAUCUAUAUAAAGCACUGAAAGAUACAGUGAUGGUUAUAGCUUAUAGCUACCCACACAUUCAUCGCACCUGAUAACACGUAUUGGCACACACAACAGCAAGCCAAAAUAUUGAUGAUUACAGCAGUAAAGCUCAUAUAUCCCAUCUAAACCAAGCCAAACGAAAUACAUAAGAAGGGGAACGUAUGAUCAACGGCAUUAAGCUACUGUAAAACACAACAGUGAAAGUCACCACCACGUUGAGAACAUAGAAUCGCUAUCCACACCAAGCUUAGCUCAGUUUUGUGUUGAUGAUGACUUUGUUUCAAACGUGCUGGUGUUGCAGCAGUAAUCAUCUGGGUUCACGUACUUGGUCCUUUGACCCUGCUUUGCUCAUUAAUAUGGGGAGAUACAGAAAGAGGGAGAUGGAUUAUAAAAUGCCAAGGGAAGUGGAUUAUGGUAGUAACAAAUGCCAUGAGAUCUUAAAACUGUCAGGGGAGGAGAUGAUCUUUCUGAUUACAGUGGAGAUUUGGCGUUAGGAUUCUUAUCAGGAAUGGGGAGUUUCUUUAAUUUAGUACCAAUUAACAAGCAUCCGUAUCAUACGAUAAUAUUGUUAAUAUUUACACAAGUGAAUACUAAUGCUGCCUACGUUUGAUGAACUACAUUCUCUUUAGUAUUUAUAAUACAGUCUCAGAUACCACAAGGCCUUGCGUACCAAUUCCUUCAACUCGGGACGCUGUGAAACUACGUACCUGUGCAGACUCCCCUUUCUAGUUACUAAUUGUUGAAUGACAGUCCUGACCCUGGCUUCUUCCAUAGCCGCGCUGUAAUCAGUAUUCACGGCCAGAUAGCAGAGAAGCACCAAUCGAUGCAGCUGCUGUGUCCUUUCACCAUCGCUCAGCAAUUUCAUCAAAGGCUUUACAGCGUUGAACUCGAUCAUUGUCUUUGAAUGCUCUUUGCAAAAAUAACUGCCUGGAUAGGCAAACUUUUGUAAAGCAACGAUAGCUUCCGUUGCCACUUCUUGGUGCACAUUGACAAGCUGCGACACCAAAACACUAAUCGUAUGAGGACUUUCUCCUGCUUUGAAAAUUCUCGCUAAGGAACCGAUCGAUUUGAUGGCAGGAACUUGCAGUUUAGGGUGAUCCUCUGAUUCUUUAAUCACCCUUAAGAGCUGCUCAACAAUAGCCUUUGCACCACGAGAACUGGUCUUAAAUGUUUUGCAUCGAAGAUCGAGAUCUGAUUCGGCUGCGGCAGUGAUUUCCUCUAUAAUCAUCAAGCAAUUGUACUGGAAUUCACCAUCCUCCGCUUCCACCAACUUAGCCAAGCAAAACAUUAAUUUUUUUGUCUCGUCUAUCAUCCUACUACUAUUUAGAACACUCCCAACGUUAAGCAUCGAUAAAGCUUCCGCACAACAUAUUUUCAGCUCAGGUGGAGAAGUUUCACUCAGCAAUGGGGCUAGCUGCCAAAUCAAUUUUUCUGCAACCAUGCAAGACCAGGCCGAGAGAGUAGAUGAAUCGUUGCUGAGGAAUUGAGGCAACGAGAGAAAGAUUUCAUCAAAGGAGCUGCCGAAAUCGGGGUUGUACAAGAUAAGAAGACACUUCAUGGAUUCGAUAGAGACGUCUAAAAGGUAGUAGAGCUUGUAGAGAGUGGUGUCUAAUUUUGAUUUUGUGCCGGUGAAGAGUCGACAAACAAUGGUUUUGCGUCUACACUUGCAGGCCAGGGUUAAGGCCUCCUGAAGGAUCUUGCAGACCUCUCUGAUAACACAAUCAACUGGGUUCAAGUUAAACAAUAUCGGACCCAUGGCGAUGAAGCAGGCCAGGUUGUUUAGCAUUUGCGAGAGAUGAACCACUCGCUUUUCCAUCUCCCCGCGGUAUAUCCUGAACGAUUUGGCCUGAUCAACCGCCUCGCCAACUUGCCUCGCUAGUACUAUCAGACCCACCAAGAGCUGCUCGAUUAGUAUCUUCUGAUCAGCCUGCAUCAUAUUCGUAGCUCACUCACCUGUUAACCCAAGGAUUCAAUAACUAAAUUUAAGUGCUUUAUUUCUACUCUAGUUUUGCUGGGUUAUGUUCGUCGAAGGCUGAAUUUGUGCUUUUAUAGCCAAAGAAGGAAUGAAGGUUUCGAUUUGACCGAGAGAGGGGGAGGGGUUGAAAAGCAGGGCAUUGGUUACUUUCUCUUUUCUGUUUUUGAUCUCAAAAACGACAGACUUGAGCGAGCUACGAACGUGAAACGCGCGAUUUAAAGCAAGACAAGACAGUAACCAUCACCAGUUGCUAGUGUCUCGUCACAUCAAGCUUGGAAAUGGUCGGUACGGUCUCAAAGGCGGCUAAGGUACUUUUCUAUAUAACGUUCGAUAUGUACCCCGACUGAAAAUAAGUGUCUCUGCACCCAGGCGAGAGGCAGAGAGAGAAAUAAUGAAACAUAUUUAUAAAAAUUUUAUUUAUAUGUGAAGAAAUACAAAGAUGAAAAGUUAAUUUGAAUAUCAACGUGUUAUAACAAAUUACAAUUUAAGGAUUUUAUUUUGAUUUGUUGAAGUUUAUUGAUUCUUAUUCUUGUUCUUACCCUUCGUACUACAUCUGUAUCUUAGUCAGAAGGUAAAUGCAUUUUCUAUUCUUGAUCAUCGAGGCUUGACUAGUGAUUGCAUUAUCUUCUUUUGACUUGCAAGAGCCUUGUACGUAUGUUCCAUUUGUUUGAGGUGACGACAUUAUCAUUUUAAAUCUGUCUUGAACCUGCUUUGGGCCCUCUCCAACCCUCAUUAGAUUCGGGGGGCAAAACGGUAGAGACAAAAAAUGGGGUUGGGCCAUACGCACAGUCUGAGAAAGGCUGAAAGAAAAAUGUAUCCAAUCAUGUCAAGUCUGAUAAUAUCUAUAUUUGAAUUAUUAAUCCACAUACAUAGUUAUUGACUUUGGCCGUUGCCGCGUCAAGCAAACAUUGUUCGGAUGAAAUAACCGCGUGCACUCGACCGAUGCCGCAAGAUCGGAAAUUGCCUGCGUUCCUUCCUCACAAAAGAGCUUUUGACCCGCAUGGAAAAAAGCACAUAAAUACAAAAUAAAUAAAUGAGUUGCACUAUUUUUUUCAUUUUACUAUGUAUUUAACAAAAUAAAUAAAUAACACAAAUAAAAUGUUUGGAUGAAAUAUAAAAAAAAUUGAAUGAUUGAAAAUUUUCGAAUAAGUAUAUGAUAAAAAAAUAACACAUCAACAAUUCAAUAUUAUCAAAAAUUAAAAACUCACCCAACUUUGCUAGUCAUUUUGACUUGAAUUUCUUUAUCCAAAUGUGGUGUCCUUAUUUUUUAUUUUUUACCUCUUCAUUUGGUUUUUAAUACUAUUUGAUUCUAGUUUCCCAUGAUUUUAAAGUUUCAUUUUUCUUUUGCAGAUUUAAUUUAUUUAUUUUGAACUCUCUUAGUUACUGUUUAUCCAAUUGUAUGUUAUAGAAAAAUUGAUGAGACUAAUUGUUUGAUGAAAUCUUUGUUGGAAAUAUUUGUUAAAAUAUGUUAGGUUGACAUUGCCAAAGAAAAAAUUAAUUUAUUUCAUGAGAUUUUUAUGGAAGUUAUAGUAAUCUUUCAAAAAGUUUGACAAUAUAUUGGCUUUUUUAUCAUUUUAUCUGAUAAAAUUGCGUUAAAAAAAAUUUACUUUUUCGUAUAAAUAUUUAAUAAAAUUUUAAUUUUUCAAUUAAUUAAAAAAAUUCAAUGAUGUGACAUGAAUAUAACAAGAGAUUUCCGUUCAUAAGGUGAUCCCCCAUGUCCAAUUACACCUUCCAAAUCUUUUCCCGAGGGAGGAUAACCCAUUUAGAACGUUCGGAUUAGUUGCAAUUCUAGAAAUAGCAGGAAGGAACUAAGGCUCCUUUCUGCCACGCAAAUUAUUUAAAAAAUGGCAUCAGUAUUACUAAGAAUCACUAGCCUGUAUUGACGCCUUUUUCCAUAUGCUAAAGACCAUGAAAAGAAACAAUUUAGCUUUUGGUGGAUUUUGAUUUUAGGCAUAAAUUUUAAAAAUUUAAAUUAUUUAAAAAUUUUAAAUAAAUUUUUAUUUUUCUAUUAUGAUCAAUCAAGAUUUUAUAUUUUUAUUUUGAUCUAAAUAAUUCAUUAUAAUUAAUGCUCAACUAAUCGAUAUUAGUUAAGAUAGCAAUUAUCAAAUUUAUAUCACAUAAUAUUGAUAUAAUUUGUUAAUAUAUUAUUAUAAUAAUAUUAAUAUAGCAUGAUAAUACAAUAAUAUAACCUUUUUCAAUUUCUACAUUUAUGUCACGUCACUACAACAUAAACCGAUUUUAACUAUACAAUUUUAGCUGCACUUUUAUUUUUGCGUUUAAAGAAUUUGUUAUAGUAUUUGAAUUUUAAAAUUUAGAUGCAUUUUUUAUUUUUGCAGCUCAUAAAAAUUUAAUUAAAAAAAUUAUCUCUUACAUCUUACAAUCUCUCUUUUUCUCUAAAUAAAAAAAAUAUCAAUUAUUUGAUUCUUUCUAUUUUUCACUUUUCAUACUAAACACAAAGAAUGAAAAAUAUCUUUCUUUCUUUCUCUUUUCCUUUACUCACCCCUUUUUUUUUUUUAGUUUUCGAAUUUUUCUUCCCCGUUAUCAAAAAUAAAUUUUUUGAAAAUUAAUGAAUAAAACAUUUUUUUCUUUGCAUCUGUCUCCCCUCUAUCUCUCUGCACCUCUUUCUUUUCUUCCAAAAUCUUUCCCUUUCCUUCGCCGCACUUCUCCUCUCUAAAACCUCUUUCUUUUCUUUUCUACUUCCUUCGUUCAUUGCUUUUCCUAAUUAAGCUAAUUUUGCUUGUAAAAAUCUUACCUUUUUAAUCUCAUCUUCUUUUCCCCAAGAAACUAGGGUUUUGUCAAAUGUGACCCCUUUUGGUACAAAAACAGGGCACUCGAUUCUCAAAUCUCUGUUUUUUUUUUAAUUAUUAUUACACGAUUUAAGAUUUCUUUUGUAGGACUUGAUUGUUCAUUGAUUUGAUUCUUGCUGGCAUGUUAAUGACAUUGAACCUAUUUCAACCGUAAUAUUUUUUUUAUUGGAUUGAUAUGGGAUUGAUAUGGUUAGUUGUGUGUUUUUUAAUCCCAUUUUUUAUUUUGUGUGAUGAUUUAGGCAAACAGGCACACCAUUGUUUUGAUGCAAACUUCGCAGAACAGAGCACCUAGAACGUUUGUGGAUUAUGAUUCUAUCAGUCAAGCUAUGGACAGUAUGCUUUUUGUUUACUGUUGCUUAUAUUAUCUUUGUUUUUGUUGUUGCUCAUAUUAUGAUUUUAUCAGUCAAGCUAUGAAUAGGGGUUUGGAGGUGGAAAUCAAAGCAAUCAAAAGUGAGCUUUAUGAUAGGAUACAUAUACAUUUCAUACAUUUUAUAGAGUUCCUAUUGCAUUAGUUUUCUUGAAAAUAGCUUCUAUUGCAGGCAAUGGACUAUACCUUUUGGAAGUUGGCUUGUGGAGUUGAGAAUGAUUUUUAGAUUUGAUUGUGCAUAUGUCUUUUUUUCUCAAGAAUGUAUGUCCAAAAUUGUUUAUAUUUUUGAGUUGCAUUAAGAGGAAAUGAAUUAGUGUGGUUUCAAUAUGAUGCACUAGAUGGAAUCCCUUCUCUUCUUCCUUUCCAUCAUUUAAAAGAUUUGACAAUUUUAACAGUAUAUAUUAUUUGCCGUGUGCAGGUAUACGUGGACUAUAUGAAAGGAAACUUAAAAAGCUCAACCCAGCAACUCAAAACAUAACGUAUGACAUUGGUGUUCUUUACAAUUUUAUUGAUGGCCUUGCAGAUAUGAUUGCCCUCGUGUAUGACUCUCUCUCUCUUCCUCCGCCUUUUUCUGGUAUGUUAUAUUGUAGAUAUAAGUACCAUGUAUUGUCUGUUAUAUUGCAUGUUUACUGAGUCAUGUGUCAAUCAAGUGUUACGAUAACUGUCUUUUAAAGGCAUGAAUUUGUCAUGUAAAACCUGACCUUAAGGAAUAAGUAUGUGUUUUCAGUCCAUGAAUUACGAUGGAUUUUUUUUUUCUGCUGAAACCCAGAUUGGUUCGUGAAUGAGUUUUGUCCAACUUAUAACAAUAGAUAUGCCUUAUAACAAUAGAGGGAUGAUUGCUCUUGGAGGCUUCUUGGCAUUAUCCCUGUUUGCCUACCUUUGAAGACUCGCGGGGGUUUCAACUGGAAUAAUUCAUUUGUUCGAUUAGGGAGUUUGUCGGUCUGGGCCACAUAGGCUACUCACCUUUUUUCACUCUGGUUGAAUUUUACUAGUAUUAGACUUUUGUUUAGGGGUUUUAUUCAGAACUAUGCUUGUUUUUUGAGAUUAUACAUGCUGAGAUGCUGCCAAGUGCUCCUUGAGCAGCUGUUACUUUUGUAAUUGUACAGAACAGGCUCUUCUCAAGAUAGCUUUAUGCUAACAGGAGCCUCCACGUUCGAGACUCCCCAUGGCAUUACAGCUUAUCUAUAAUAAAAACUCAUAUUUCAAAAAAAAAAAGAUAUGCCUUAUUGCUAUUAAUUUAGAUUUUAGAGAGAUAAUAAGAGGGUUUUUUUUUUGGUUUUGCUUUUGCUUUCUUGCUUUGGAGACAGCAGUUACAGUUCCUCUUUGUCCUUCAUCGCAAAAGAACUUGUUUUUAUCUAUUUAGGAGAACUUACAUUAGUGGCCAUAGGUUAAUUUGUCAAUUUGUCUUCAUUUUGAGUAUUGUUGUGACUGCAACCUGUUUUAUAUGCUUGUUGAAUAUAAGUAGGCAUUGUUGCAACUAUGUAAUAGCAUGAUAUGUCUUCUUCUCUGGUCAGUAUUAGAGUCUUACACUCAAAUUUUUCUUGUUUCAUCUGGUAUUCUCUCUAUAAUUUUUAAGGCACAAACACUAAAUAUGCUAUUCUUGAGGAGUUUUAGAAGUUUUCUUGUUGAAUUAUUUGAUACAUAUGACUGGAAUUUGAAAAUAUGGUGAUUUACUGAAUGCUGGGAUAUUGAUGUCGAAUGAUAUAAAUAGUGCCAAUUCAUUUAGCACUUUAUGGAAAAAGUUCCACUAUCUUGAACGUCCUGAUCCCAUGAUUGUUUGUUGUGGACAAUUAAGAUUACUGUGGUGGAAUAUCUAAAUACUUAUCAAAGAUCUUGAAAUUGAUUGAUUUUGCAGUCAAAAGGGACACUUCAAAUGGAUGCCUUUUCACCAUGUGAUAAAAGAUUGUGAUUCUAGGAGGACAUUCACAAGGCCUUGGAGUCAUUGAAGAGUGGACAUCAAAAGGGAAACUUUUAUUUUCUAUUGCAACUAUUUUUUAUUUUCUUUCAAUUCUCAAGUUUAGUUACUUAAUUAUAACAAUUUACAGCUUAAUCGAUCAUCAUUGAUCGGUUGCCAAGAAAAGGAACAAAUAAUCAAACACCAAAUAUUUGAUAAUAUAUCUCUAAAUCAGAUUUGUAAGGUUAGUUACUUGCAAUCACUUUAAGAGUUUUUACAAUUUUGAGGUUCUAAUUUGUCAUAUGAUCUAAGAUUUAUGAUUUAUGAUUGCAUUUUUAUUUAUUUUUAGAUGGUGGAAGUCAAUGUUCCUCAACUUCUCUUUGAAGAAUAAAAGCACAACUUUGAACAAAUGAGCCUAACAAGAUACUUGGAAGAAUUGAUUCCAAAUGCUACUCUUGAUGAAUCCUGUAAGUCAUUUUAUGUUAAUUAAUUGAUUGUUCAUGGCUGGACAUAUUAGGAUUUUUGUGCUGCUUUUUGAAUUAUUAUUUAAUUAAAAUUCUUAAAGUGUUGCAUAAUUUAUACAUGAAUGGAGUUUUGGAUUUUUUUUUUAAUUUUUGUUUUAGAAAAGUAACAAUUUUAUAAGUUUAAAACUAAUGGCAAUGUGAUGUUAAAACUUGGAGUUAGGGGCUCCUAUGUGUAAGCUGGAUUUAUAGGAUAUCUAGUAUAGUUACUCUAGAAUCAUUGAGAUAGCAUGCAUUCAAGCUAUAUUUGAUUCAUAGGAGGCCUUAUCGAAGAUGUUAAAACAUAAGACACCUUUUUUGCUUUCCAAUCUCCAAUGUUAAACUAUGCAUCAUUUGAAACUUGUGUAGUACCAUGCUAGAAGAGAGUUAGAUAUGAAAGAGAACAAAUUAUGAAUCUUUUAUAAUUUUAGCAGUUUUCUAUGUUCUUUUUUUUCUCCAUUUUUUGCUUUGUUUUCAAAUCAAAUCAAAGAGCACAAAUAAAUUUUUGUUCGUUGGUCAGUGAGUAUGCUUUGUCUCAUAUUACAUUAUGAAUUACUUGCAAAUUAAUAUUAUCUUGCAAAUUAAUCUUUACAGGUAAGGAAGGUUGGGAACUGCAAUGUCAGAUGGUUUUAUUAGGUUGGAGAAGGGACAAACAAAUAUGUACAAAGAGAAAUUGGAGAGAAAAAGAGAGAAAGAGAGAUUACCCCAUAUUGUACACGUUGUAAAGACCUUGAGGGUCCAUGUUCCAAGUUGAAAAUGGUUUUUGAGACAUUUGACGUUUGAGGCAUUAGUUGCUGCAAUUUGAUUUUAGAGACACUUUAUGGUUUGUGAGCAUUUUGUUUCUAUCAUAAAACUUAUUGCAUAUUAGAAGGUUAUAUGUGUCUCUAUUUUAUAGCUAAACACAUUUUAUAUGCUACCAUAUGAUUUAAGAUUGUAGUCAUAUAGUAUACAGCUACACUUUAAUUUUGCUGUUGAAUCCCAUAAAUAAGUGCAGCCAUACUUUUUCAUACAUUUGCUGGGAUAUUAAUGUAAUUUUAUUUGCAGCCAAAGGUGAAAAAUGUUGUAGUGCGUUAUCAUUAUGUGAGUAUAAAAUAACAAAAGAUAUUUUCAUUAAUUAUAAUUAAUUAAUCAGUUAUUAAUCAUAAAAAUUUAUUUUAUUUUAAAAAAUACAACAACAAAUACAAUAAAAAUAAAUAUUAAUUUAAUUUUUUUAAAAUAAUUCAAAAAAAAUUUCAAACAUUAUAACUUAAUUUUACGUCCAACGGUAAAAGAAUUAAUCAAGAUACAUGAAUGUUCCUAAAUUGAUCCAAACACGUAAAACCUGACUAGGCCCCAUUGUCUCAGUUUGGUCCAAAUAGUAAAGCUUUCGGGGUUGGGCCCAUAUAGAAUGUUCACGUGAAUUAACCUCUUUUGUCUUUUUAAGGAAACUUUUUUUUACCAACUCAAGAAAUAAUUCUAAAAUUUUAACCCCUUUUUUUUUAAUCUAGUAUGGAUAAAUAAUGUAUACAACUAUUUUACAAUAAGAUUGUUUCAACAGUUAGUGAAUGCUAAUACCAAGGGCGGAGUUAGCCAAAUUUUGUUAAGAGGGCUAAACACAGAAAAAUAAGAGUUAAAAAUUUAAAAAAUCUAAUAUGUUAAAUUCAAUUAACAAUAAAAAUAUUGAUAAUAAAAAUAUGAAACUAAAUAUAAAAAUAUAAUUUGGUUCCUUGAGUUAUGUUGCCUAAGUUAUAUUGCAGAUUACACACUCUACUGUCAUCUGGCUGUGCAAAACUCUAUUUCAAUGUGUUCCAAAUAUCCAUGGCAGAGUCCAUAUAGAAAACAGUUGAUGCAAUUGGAGGAGUGAUGGAAUCAAGCAACUAGGCAACAAUAAGAUUGUUGCAUCGAAUCCAUGAUGGAUAUAGGGGGUCCAUUCCUUCAGCUUUGGGGACAGAUCCAUUUAUAAGUCCCAUUUUGUUUCUGAUGGACAAGGCAAAAAGAAAUAAUCUGCUCCAUGCCACAUAGUUAUUUGUGGUGAGCUCGGGGUUGAUGAUGAUUGAACCUGGAUGAUCAGUAUGAUGGAAAUAGUAAGGAGAUUGGGGGUCUUCAAUGGGUGAAAUCUGAGAGGCUAUUUGUGAUGAAGUAUGGGUUGAAGGUUGAGGUCCUUGAGAUCUCGAUUCACUUGUUUUAGACAUGAUUGAGACCAAAUCUAUACUAUACUGAUAGAUCAAAUGAAAGUAAUAAGGAUUGAAAAAAAUAUAUCAGAAAAGAUCUUGAUGGGUAGUAACGUUACCAGAGACGACGGUGAAGGUAUGAGGGAUCACACGAUUUCUGCUGCUGUCAUUAUUCCACGAGACAUGAAUUUUUAAGCACCAUUUUUGACCUGUUUUGAUACCAUGUUGAAAUAUGGUUGAGAAACAGAUAAUAUUUGGGGAAUCAUUUUUUGAUUCAUUCUCUCAGAGAGAAAAGGUACAAGAAAGUCUGUCUAUAUAUAUAUACACACACAAUAGGCAAGAAGAAAUGACAAAAGCUAUAACUAAUUAGGCUAUUAACUAACUUAACAGCUACUAAUUAAUUACAUCCUUUAGUAUCAACCAAUCAGGCAAAAGAUGAAAAUCAGAUCAUCUUUAUUAAAUAAUAUUAUGGAAACAAAUUUUCAUCAUUGGAAGUUAAGGACCGUGAUUAGUUUAAGUUUAAGCUGAUAAUCAAGUCACUUAUCUUAUUUUCAUCUUUUGCCAUUCCCAGUUGCUUUUGGAAAUCUACGGGGACCAUAUAUUCUAUCCAAUUAAUCCCAGGUACAUCCUAACACGUCCAUUCUAGCUCGAGCUUUUAGCAUCUUCGUAAGUGAAAUACCGAUUUUAACCAGAUGUUUUGCUUUAGCCGUUAAAGCACUAGAUGACCCUACUGUACAUCGACUUGCUUUAUUUUACUCGUUUUCUUUUUGAAUUAUUAGAUGUCUGUUGAAAUGUGGUUGAGAAGCAGAUAAUAUUUGAGGAAUCAUUUUCUGAUUCAUUCUCUCAGAGAGAAAAAGUACAAGAAAUUCUGUACAUAUAUAUAUAUACACAAUAGCCAAGAAGAAAGGACAAAAGCUACAACCGAUCAGGCUAUUAACAAACUUAACGGCUACUAAAUUAAUUACAUCCUUUAGUAUCAACUAAAACGGUGUAGUAUUGAAAUACUUAUGGCCUUCUUCCUAAUAAAAAUGAAACGGUGCGUUUCUUCAGUCUUUGUUCUUCUUCUGCUAUGUACAAGUAGCAGUUUCCUGGUAGCAGCCUUGCUGCCUUUACCCUUCGGCUACAUUAAAGUAUUCAUGUUCAGUCUUCCUGAUUAAUAAUGUCCAAGAAAUUGUCUCUGAAACUUCCACCUCCUUUCAAGGAAGACUCCUAUUCUGGAUUUGUUGAUAUUUUUCUCCUAUUUAAGUGAAGCUGAGGAAAUGCGAUUUGAAAACGUCAAAAAAAGAAAUUAAAAAAAAAAAAAGAUGGAGAGUCAUGUGAAUGAGUAUUCUGAAGUGAAGGAGGCGCUCUUGUUGGAGGUAAAAAGGGCCCAUAUAGAAUGUUCACGUGAAUUAACCUCUUUUGUCUUUUUAAGGCAACUUUUUUUUACCAACUCAAGAAAUAAUUCUAAAAUUUUAACCCCUUUUUUUUUAAUCUAGUAUGGAUAAAUAAUGUAUACAACUAUUUUACAAUAAGAUUAUUUCAACAGUUAGUGAAUGCUAAAACCAAGGGCNCAGGCUAUUAACAAACUUAACGGCUACGAAAUUAAUUACAUCCUUUAGUAUCAACUAAAACGGUGUAGUAUUGAAAUACUUAUGGCCUUCUUCCUAAUAAAAAUGAAACGGUGCGUUUCUUCAGUCUUUGUUCUUCUUCUGCUAUGUACAAGUAGCAGUUUCCUGGUAGCAGCCUUGCUGCCUUUACCCUUCGGCUACAUUAAAGUAUUCAUGUUCAGUCUUCCUGAUUAAUAAUGUCCAAGAAAUUGUCUCUGAAACUUCCACCUCCUUUCAAGGAAGACUCCUAUUCUGGAUUUGUUGAUAUUUUUCUCCUAUUUAAGUGAAGCUGAGGAAAUGCGAUUUGAAAACGUCAAAAAAAGAAAUUAAAAAAAAAAAAAGAUGGAGAGUCAUGUGAAUGAGUAUUCUGAAGUGAAGGAGGCGCUCUUGUUGGAGGUAAAAAGGGCCCAUAUAGAAUGUUCACGUGAAUUAACCUCUUUUGUCUUUUUAAGGCAACUUUUUUUUACCAACUCAAGAAAUAAUUCUAAAAUUUUAACCCCUUUUUUUUUAAUCUAGUAUGGAUAAAUAAUGUAUACAACUAUUUUACAAUAAGAUUAUUUCAACAGUUAGUGAAUGCUAAAACCAAGGGCGGAGUUAGCCAAAUUUUGUUAAGAGGGCUAAACACAGAAGAAUAAGAGUUAAAAAUUUUAAAAAUCUAAUAUGUUAAAUUCAAUUAACAAUAAAAAUAUUGAUAAUAGAAAUAUGAAACUAAAUAUAAAAAUAUAAUUUGUAAAAUAUAAAUAGAUAAAAACAAUAUAUAAGAUUAAUAAUUUUUUUAGAUAAUCAGAAUUAUUUAAAUACUUUAUAUUUAAGAUAAUUUCAUUUCAACUAGAUAUAAAACAUAAAGCGUAUAAAAAAAAACUUAAGUUAAUUUCCUCUUACAUAAUCAAUAUUAAUAAAAAAUAAUAAUACACUGAUGAAAUUUUAAAUAACAAUGUAACACUACAAUUUAUAGUUGAAAACUAUAUAAUAAUUUAUUAAUUUUUAAAGAUUAGAAUCAUAGAAAAUAAAUCUACAUAACAUAAAAAAGAAAAACAUAAUAUGUAGAAGGUAGAUACCAUAUAUUAUAUAACAAAAAAGAAAGAAAAAGAAUAUGAUUAAUUGUUCGUAAAAAUUUGAGAGAGAAAAUUUAUAAAAACUUAUAACAUUUGAACAAAUAAAAUAAAAAUUAAAAAAAAUAAAUAUAAAUAAAAAUAAUAAUAUAAAUUAAAAAAAUUUAAAAAUUAAGUGAGAUAUGUGAAAUCAUUUUAUUAUUAUUUAUUUAUAUUAAUUAUUAACUAAAAAAUUAUUUUGAGGGGACAAUUAAUAGAAUAUAUAUAAAAAUGUUAUGAAAAAAUCUUUAAAAGCAUGCCCCCCAUCACAUAAGGAGGCUCCGCCCCUGACUAAUACUGCCUACCUUUGAUGAACUACAUUCUCUUUAGUAUUUAUAAUACAAUGUCAGAGACCCCAAGGCCUUGGAUACCAAUUCGUUCAACUCGGGAUGCUGUGAAACACCGUGCCUGUGCGGCCUUACCUUUCCAGUUGAUAAUUGCUGUAUGGCAGUCCUGACCCUGGCUUCUUCCAUAGCCUCGCUGUAAUUAGCAUUCACGGUAAGGUAGCAGAUAAGCACCAAACCAUGCAGCUGCUGUGUCCUUUCACCGUCUCUCCACAAUUUCAUCAAAGGCUUCACAGCGUUGAACUCGAUCAUUGUCUUUGAAGCGCUUGGCAAAGACAAUUACCUGGAUAGGCAAACUUUUGUAAAGUAACGAUAGCUUCCGUCGCCACUUCUUGGUGCACAUUGCCAAGCUGCGACACCAAAACACUAAUCACAUGAUGACUUUGUGUUUUUUUGAAAAUUCUCGCUAAGGAACCGAUCGAUUUGAUGGCAGGAACUUGCAGUUUAGAGUGAUCCUCCGAUUCUUUAAUCACCCUUAGGAGCUGUUCAACGAUAGCCUUUGCACCAGGAGCAUUGGUCUUAAAUGUUUUGCAUCUAAGAUCGAGAUCAGAUUCGGCUGCGGCAGUGAUUUCCAUUAUAAGCAUCAAGCAUUUGUAACACCUUGGGCAGGUGGAGAAGUUUCACCCAGCAUUGGGGCUAGCUGCCAAAUCAAUUUUUCUGCAACCAUGCAAGACCAGGCCGAAAGAAUGGAUGAAUCGUUGCUGAGGAAUUGAGGCAACGAGAGAAAGAUUUCAUCGAAGGCGCUACCGAAAUCGGGGUUGUACAAGAUAAGAAGACAGUUCAUGGAUUCGAUAGAAACGUCUAAAAGGUGGUAGAGCUUGUGGACAGUGGUGGCUAAUUUUGAUUUUGUGCCGGUGAAGAGUCGGCAAACGAUGGUUUUGCGUCUACACUUGCAAAAGAGGCCAGGGUUAAGGCCUCCUUAAGGAUCUUGGAGACCUCUCUGAUAACACAAUCAAUUGGGUUCAGAUUAAACAAAAUCGGAUCCAUGGAGAUGAAGCAGAGCAGGUUGUUUAACAUUUGCGAGAGCUGAACCACUCGCUUUUCCAUCUCCCCGCUGUAUGCCCUGAACGAUUUGGCCUGAUCAACCGCCUCGCCAACUUGCUUCGCUAGCACUAUCAGACCCUCCAAGAGCUGCUUGAUUAACAUCUUCUGAUCAGACUGCAUUGUAUUCGUAGCACAGUCACCGGUUAACCCAAGGAUUGAAUCACAAAAUUGAAGUGCUUUAUUUCUUCUCCACUUUUGCUGCGUUAUGGUCGUCGAAGGCUGAAUUUCAGCUUUAUAGCAAAGAAUAUAUGAAGGUUUCGAUUUAACUGGAAGAGGGAGAGGGCUAGAGAAGCAGGGCAUUGGGUACUUUCUCUUACUCUUUUUUAUCUAAAAAACCAAAGGCGGCCCAAACUUCUCUAGAUAUUGUUAUGUUUACUUAUUGCAUACUAAAGAUGAAGUAAUGGAGAAAUUUAGAAUUUAUAAAAGAGAAGUUGAAUUGUGUUGUGAAUUGUAUAUUAAAUGUUUACGAAGUGAUAGAGAAUGUGAAUAUUAUGAUCCUAAGUAUUUUGAAUCCACUGAAAUUAUUCAUGAGACUAUCACUCCAUACACACCAGAAUAAAAUGGUAUAGCGGAACAUAAGAAUCGAGUUCUUACGGAAAUGAUCAAUGCUUUGCUUUCUAAUCCACGCUUGGAAAAAGGAUUUUGGGGCGAAACCUUAUUAACGAUUUGCCAUAUACUAAAUAGAAUCCAAAACAAAAAGAGCAAAACUACUCCUUAUGAACUAUGGAAAGAAAGAAAGCCAAACCUUAAUUAUUUAAGAGUUUGGGGAUGUCGAGUCAUAGUAAGAGUUCUAGAGCCAAAGAAAAGGAAAUUGGGUGAAAAAUGAAUUGAAUGUAUAUUUAUAGGUUAUGCUGAACAUAGUAAGCAUAUCGUUUCAUAGUGAUAAAGCCUAAUGAUUCACAUUUCGUUAAUACGAUCAUAAAAUCAAAGGACGUUAUUUUUGAUGAAACAAGAUUCAAUUCAAUUCCUAGACCCAAAGACUUAGUAACAAAAGGUGAUAAACCUUCAGAAAAUGACGAGAAAACUAUUGAGCUUCGAAGAAGUAAAAGAAUUAAGAAAGAAAAGACAUAUGGAUCCGAUUUUCUCAUGUACUUAGUAGAAGUUACAAGAGAAGAAACAUGUGAAUACUUACCUUACUGCUUUAAUGUAGAAGGUGAAAGUGAUCCUCAAACUUAUGAGGAGGCAAUGAAGUCUCAAGAUGCUUCAUUUUGGAGAGAAGCAAUACAAGAUGAGAUGGACUCAUUAAGGGGAAACAAAACGUGAAAAUUGGUAGACCUUCCACUAGGUUCCAUGUCAAACCCUGCUUUGUAAAAUAAUUAUAAUGUCAUUCACAUGCUCGAUAGAAUGUUUGUAUAUUUAGAAAGUUCGAGAAAUCGUUAAAAAACGAUAUUGCCCCUAAUGGUACCAUUGAGUCGAUUAAGCCUCGAACUAAUUCAAAUAGGAAUUUUAAGGUGAAAUUAAGAGUUUCACAGUUCAGAGAUGACUCAAAAUGGUAAUUCGGAGUUCGAGGAUCAAUUCGGAGUCAAACCGAAAUUUUCACUAUCUAGGGGCAAAAGCGUAAUUUUUCCACCGACAGACAAAAUUUGAGAUUUUGAGAGAAUUUAGAUCACAUUUGAUAAAUUGGAGAAUGGUAUGAGUAUAAGGGAUGAAAAAUAUAUCUAUGGGCAAUUUUUCAGUUUUUGGGGUAAAAAUGUAAUUUUUCACUUUACGGGGUAAAAGUGUAAUUUUUAAAAAUUUACUCCACCAAAACUUUGGAAAAGUCUAGAAAUUUCAUGGAAGACAUGGAUAAGUGAAGAGGAUUGAGUGGUAGAAAAAGAAAGUAAAAAAGAUGGCUAGAAAAAAAAUAAANNNNNNNNNNNNNNNNNNNNNNNNNNNNNNNNNNNNNNNNNNNNNNNNNNNNNNNNNNNNNNNNNNNNNNNNNNNNNNNNNNNNNNNNNNNNNNNNNNNNNNNNNNNNNNNNNNNNNNNNNNNNNNNNNNNNNNNNNNNNNNNNNNNNNNNNNNNNNNNNNNNNNNNNNNNNNNNNNNNNNNNNNNNNNNNNNNNNNNNNNNNNNNNNNNNNNNNNNNNNNNNNNNNNNNNNNNNNNNNNNNNNNNNNNNNNNNNNNNNNNNNNNNNNNNNNNNNNNNNNNNNNNNNNNNNNNNNNNNNNNNNNNNNNNNNNNNNNNNNNNNNNNNNNNNNNNNNNNNNNNNNNNNNNNNNNNNNNNNNNNNNNNNNNNNNNNNNNNNNNNNNNNNNNNNNNNNNNNNNNNNNNNNNNNNNNNNNNNNNNNNNNNNNNNNNNNNNNNNNNNNNNNNNNNNNNNNNNNNNNNNNNNNNNNNNNNNNNNNNNNNNNNNNNNNNNNNNNNNNNNNNNNNNNNNNNNNNNNNNNNNNNNNNNNNNNNNNNNNNNNNNNNNNNNNNNNNNNNNNNNNNNNNNNNNNNNNNNNNNNNNNNNNNNNNNNNNNNNNNNNNNNNNNNNNNNNNNNNNNNNNNNNNNNNNNNNNNNNNNNNNNNNNNNNNNNNNNNNNNNNNNNNNNNNNNNNNNNNNNNNNNNNNNNNNNNNNNNNNNNNNNNNNNNNNNNNNNNNNNNNNNNNNNNNNNNNNNNNNNNNNNNNNNNNNNNNNNNNNNNNNNNNNNNNNNNNNNNNNNNNNNNNNNNNNNNNNNNNNNNNNNNNNNNNNNNNNNNNNNNNNNNNNNNNNNNNNNNNNNNNNNNNNNNNNNNNNNNNNNNNNNNNNNNNNNNNNNNNNNNNNNNNNNNNNNNNNNNNNNNNNNNNNNNNNNNNNNNNNNNNNNNNNNNNNNNNNNNNNNNNNNNNNNNNNNNNNNNNNNNNNNNNNNNNNNNNNNNNNNNNNNNNNNNNNNNNNNNNNNNNNNNNNNNNNNNNNNNNNNNNNNNNNNNNNNNNNNNNNNNNNNNNNNNNNNNNNNNNNNNNNNNNNNNNNNNNNNNNNNNNNNNNNNNNNNNNNNNNNNNNNNNNNNNNNNNNNNNNNNNNNNNNNNNNNNNNNNNNNNNNNNNNNNNNNNNNNNNNNNNNNNNNNNNNNNNNNNNNNNNNNNNNNNNNNNNNNNNNNNNNNNNNNNNNNNNNNNNNNNNNNNNNNNNNNNNNNNNNNNNNNNNNNNNNNNNNNNNNNNNNNNNNNNNNNNNNNNNNNNNNNNNNNNNNNNNNNNNNNNNNNNNNNNNNNNNNNNNNNNNNNNNNNNNNNNNNNNNNNNNNNNNNNNNNNNNNNNNNNNNNNNNNNNNNNNNNNNNNNNNNNNNNNNNNNNNNNNNNNNNNNNNNNNNNNNNNNNNNNNNNNNNNNNNNNNNNNNNNNNNNNNNNNNNNNNNNNNNNNNNNNNNNNNNNNNNNNNNNNNNNNNNNNNNNNNNNNNNNNNNNNNNNNNNNNNNNNNNNNNNNNNNNNNNNNNNNNNNNNNNNNNNNNNNNNNNNNNNNNNNNNNNNNNNNNNNNNNNNNNNNNNNNNNNNNNNNNNNNNNNNNNNNNNNNNNNNNNNNNNNNNNNNNNNNNNNNNNNNNNNNNNNNNNNNNNNNNNNNNNNNNNNNNNNNNNNNNNNNNNNNNNNNNNNNNNNNNNNNNNNNNNNUUUUGAUGUUUCAAAAAAAUAUAUAUAUAUAUUGUUUUACAUUAAAAUAGAUUAUUUUAAUUAAUAUUUUUAUUUUAUUUUAUUAUUUAAAAAAAAGAGAGAGAGGAAUGGAAAAACUGGUACAAAAGCCUUGCGAGGUCUCGAAAGACAUUUAGGGGAAGAAUGUCUGUCGAGGCUUCGCUGCGGUUGUCAUGGGCUCGAUGGGAGUUCCGGGUCGUGACAUUCCAAGCCAAUAGGGUGUAAGUGGAUUUUCAAAAAGAAAAUGAAAGUUGAUGGAGCCGUAGAAAAGUUUAAAGCAAGGCUAGUGGCAAAAGACUUUAAACAAAAAGUAAGUGUUGAUUAUUUUGAUGCAUAUGCACCGAUAGCAAGAAUAGCUAUAAUUAGAGUGCUUAUAGCACUUGCAUCUGUAUAUAAGAUGGUAAUUCACCAGAUGGAUGUUAAAACAGCAUUCCUAAAUGGUGAGUUAGAUGAAGAAGUGUAUAUGGAACAACCUAAAGGGUUUGUCUUUCCUGGUCAAGAAAGGAAAGUAUGCAAGCUUGUAAAGUCCUUGUAUGGAUUAAAACAAGCGCCCAAACAAUGGCAUCAAAAGUUUGAUGAGGUUGUGCUAGCUAAUGACUACAAGAUAAAUCAAUCUGACAAAUGUGUUUAUAGUAAGUUCCAUAACGAUAGAGGUGUCAUCAUUUGUUUACAUGUAGAUGACACGUUAAUCUUUGGUACCAAUUGGAACAAGUGGAAGACACAAAAAGGUUCUUGUCAAAGAAUUUUGACAUGAAAGAUAUGAGUAUGGUAGAUGUUAUUCUUGAUAUAAGAAUAAUGAGAGACAAUAAUGGCAUAACAUUGUCUCAAUCUCAUUACAUCAAAAAGAUUGUAAUGAAGUAUGGAAAGUCAGAUUGUAUGCCAAUGACUACGCCUUAUGAUUCUAAUAUAAGGCUAGUACCCAACAAAGAUAAGCCAAUAGCACAACAUGAAUAUGCAAAGGUGAUUGGAUGCCUAAUGUAUGCAAUGGUAUGUAUAAGGCCGGAUAUUGCUUUUAUGGUUGGAAUGCUAGGUCGAUUUACAAGUAAUCCAAGCAAACAACAUUGGUAUGCUAUUCAUAGAGUUCUAAGGUACUUAAAGAGUACAAAGAAUUAUGGCAUCUAUUAUUCAGGUUUUCCUUCAAUUUUAGAAGGGUAUGCAGAUGCUAGUUGGAACUCAAAUAGAAUGAAUCAUACAUCUAUGACUAGUUGAAUUUUUAUAAUUAGUGGGGGUGUUGUUUCUUGGGGUUCUAAGAAACAAUCUUGUCAAGCGGACUCCACCAUGGUGGCUAAAUUUAUAGCCUUAGCAUCUGCGACCUAAGAAGUAGAAUGGUUGAGAAAUUUACUCUAUGAAAUUCCGUUAUGGCCUAAACCAAUGGCACCAAUCUUGAUAUAUUGUGACAAUGAAGCAACUGUAUCAAAGGCAUAUAAUCAAGCUUACAAUGGAAAGAGUCGAUAUAUUGGACUUCGACAUAGCAUUGUAAGGCAAAGAAUUAGUGAUGGUAUAAUCACUAUAAGUUAUGUGAGGUCUAGUGAAAAUUUAGCGGAUCCGUUUACUAAGGUCUAAAAAAAGACCUGGUUAUAAAGACCUCAAGAGAGAUGGGUCUCAAGCCUAUCAACUAAAUCGCCAAUGGUAGGAGCUCACCUCGACGCUUGUGGCCAACCUGCAAGUCUCGAGUACUGACCAUUCUACCACAUGGUGAUUGCAAGCACUAAAUUAUAUUUUCCAUCCCAAGGUGUAUAAUGCUUGGUUCCCCGUAAUGUGUAAAAUAAAGUUGAACGAAAGUUCUUAAUAGACCCAUAACAUAUAUAUGUUGAAGUACUAUAAUUAUGGGGUACUUCCGAUGGGGGCUACCUAUAUGAGUGGAAGUGUGGCCGCUUCUAGGAGUUAAAGGCUUGACUCUGACAGCACUCAUGAAUGGAUACAAAACAUAAGGCCAUAAAACGUGUUAGCAAAACUAGAUACAAAGUGAGCAAGGAAGCUUGUGUGUGUUUAGUGGCUCGACUAGUCAAUGAAAAAUCGAUGGUUCAAUGCUUGGUCAACCACUUAAUUCAAACUAGAACCAAUCACACUCACUAAGUGAAGGUUUAAAUUUACGGGAUACCUUCAUUUAUGUACAAGUUUCUCAAAUUUGUUGGUAUUUGGAAAUUUUGAAAAUGGUGGGAGAUUGUUGGUGUUUUUUCAAAAUUAAAGAUUAUGUCAUAUGAUGAAAAGCUAUCAUUAACUCAAAAGUUAUGUCACGAAAAGUGACAUAAUGUGUCUAUUGAAAUAUAAAUAAGUUUUCAUAUGAAUAAUUAUGUUUCUUGAAAAAAUGACAAUGAAAAGUUAUGAGACAUAUUGAAAAGACACCAUGGCUCAAAAGUUAAAUAUGAAAAGUUAUUGUUUCAAGUUAUAACUCAAUGGUUAUAAUGAAUAGUUAUCUUUUCAUAAGAUAAUUAUUAAAAUAAUACAUUUAUCCAAAGGUUGUGUCCAAUAAAAAUGUAGAGAUAUUUUUUAUACAAAAGGUAUCUUUAUGAAAAAGUUGUAUCCUUGAAAAAGAGACACUUAGCAAUGGUUUGCAAUCACCCUGGAAGGUUUCUUCUGGCUUUUGUGCAAAUCCUGUUAGCUCUUCCCACAGUAUCUCCGAGCCUUGUCGCAGAUAAUUGAUUGCUUCUUUGCUCUGUUCUACGAUAAUCUGUGUAAUGCUACCUUUUACUGAACUGUCUAAUUUUUCAUGCUUACCGGUUUGAUUUGAUUUGAGUUUGAAUAUUGCGUCGGAGACCAAUCCUUUUAGCUUGGGAUGCUUGGCACCUAUCGUCUCGAGAGCAGUCAAUGCACCGGCUUCUAUCAAAACAUUGCUGUUGAUGUCAUGGUUCGCGAGGUAGCAGAUCAGAGCCAAUCCAUGAUGCUGUGACUCUUCAUCGCCAUCAAGUAACUUCAUUAAAAGUGGGACACCGUCGAAUUUAACUAUCGAUUGUGAAUGCUCCUUGCUAAGGCGAUUUUCUGGACAUGCAAAAUUUUGCAGAGCAAUAGCAGCUUCCAUUGCUAUUUCUUGGUCCGUACUGCCAAGCCGGAAAACUAGAGGACUGAUUACCCGAUUGUCUUUUGCUGAAAACGUUCUAGCCAAUGAACCCAUCGAUUUGAUAACCGGAAUUCUCAAUUUUUUGUCAUCAAAUUCUUUAAUCACUCUCAAUAGCUGAUCAACAACAGUCAUUGCAGCUAGAGAAUUAGUCUUAAAAGCCGAAUGUCUGAAUUCUUGAUUUGAUUCAGCAAUAGAUGUAAUUUCUCUUAUGAUCAUCAAGCAAUUGUACUGUAAUUCAUCUUGUUCCGUUUCAACCAACUUAGCCAAGCAAAGCAUUCCCUUUGUCUCCGUUAAUGUCCUACAAUUCGAAACGCUCCCCUCAACAAGCACCCAUAAAGCCUUCGAACAACUGAUUUUCAAUUCAGGAUUAAGUAAAUUGAUUUUAGGACCAUCUGCAGAUGGCUCAGAUGACAACAACGUUACCAGCCGCCAUAUUACAUUCUCUCUAACCAAAUCGUAUUCCUUCACCUCAGGGUUAUACUCUGCUAUUUUGGCAACCAAAUUCGCCGCCUGAAUUUGAUCCCUCGUCGGCGAUGUUCUUGAUAAACGAUAUACAACUGUAGAUAUCAUUUCCUUCAUAAUAAUUCUCGUCCUCUCCUGCUCAUUAGCUAAAAGACAAAGUGCAUUAGCAGCCGUGAUCUGAGCUUUCAGAGAGGAGUUCUCUUUCAAAAGCUUUAUUAAAGGAGGUACCCCGCCUUCUUCAAAAAUAAUGUUUUUGUACUCGUCUUUUUCUUGAGCAAGUAAACCAAGACAUAUCGCAGCCUGGACGCGAUCUUCUAAUUGACGCCCCAUUUUGACGGUGGCGAUGCAAGACCAGACCAACAAUCUAGCCGACUCAUUCUUGGUCGUUGGGCCUGUGACUCCGUUUUGGGGGUCAUAGACAGUAACCAGCCAUUCCAUAUCGCUGAUAGAAGCAUCCAAAAGGUGGGAGAGCCCGCGAAAACUGGUGGCAUUACGGAUGGUGAAGAGACUGCUGAGUAGGCUCCGGCACUUGCACUUGGAUACAGUGGCCAGUGCGAGCUCAAAGUUAUCCUUCACCUUGGCAACUAUACAGUUGAUUGGGCGCAGGUAAAUGGAAGUUGGAGCAGAGGUGAUGAAGCGGAUCAAUGUCUUCAGCAUUUGGGAGAUUUGCUUCACUCGCUCCCUUACCGCACAGCAUUCCUCCUGGAACGACUUGGCCUCUUCAACCUCUAAGCAAAGUCGUUCCUCCAAGAAUAUCAAAUCAAAGAGUUCCUCCACCUGCUUUUUUGCCUCCCAGGGAAGCAUCAUUUUUAGCCACAGUUCAGUUCAAUUGCGAAGCACUCUUGCACACCUGUGUUAUCAGAUUGUUUGAACUUGCAAUUUUACUGAUUUAAUCCCUACUUUUAUAUCUGCGCAUAAAGAACAAAAAAGGAAGGGAAAAAAAAAAUAUUAGCUGAUUUUGGCCGUUAAUUGACAUUUAUAGAGCUAAAAAAGAACGAGUAGGUAUGAAUUUCAUCACCACUGAUGCCAUCUUGGAAGUAAUAAAAACUUUAACGCUAAGAAAAGUGUGGGGCUGACUCCUCACAUAUAGAAGCAUCCAAAAGGUGGAUGAGCUUGCGAAAUUGGGUCAUAGACAGUAAACAGUAAUUCCUUAUCGCUGAUGGGUUCUGGCGCUUGCAGUUGGAUACAAUAACUAGGGCGAGCUCAAAGUUAUCCUUCACCUUGGCAACUAUGCAGUUGAUUGGGCGCAGGAAAAUGGAAGUUUGAGCAGAGGUGAUGACGCAGAUCAAUGUCUUCAGCAUUUGGGAGAUUUGCUUCACUUGCUUCCUUACCUCAAAGCAUUCCUCCUGGAACGACUUGGCCUCUUCAACCGCUAAGCAAAUUCCUUUCUAAAUGAACUUCAGCAGAGGUGAUGACGGCAUGAUCGGAAAUUGCCUGCGUCUCUUCCUGCCUUUUGUUCCUUCCUCACAAAAGAGCUUUUGUCUCCAAUUGCACCUUCCAAUUCUUUUCCAGAGGGAGGAUGUCGGUGUCAACUCACCCCAUUUGGACUUUCGGAGUAAUAGCAGGAAUGCCCUUUUUUGCCUUGCAAAUUCAUAUGAUUUCACAGAAUGGAAAACACUAGUUUUUGUGAAUUUUAAAUUUUUUUUCAUGAGAUUCUUUUCCUUUUACCAUGUAUUUAACAAAAAAAUAAAAAUACAAAUAAAAUGUUCGGAUCAAAUAUAAAAACAAUAAAACAAUAAACUAUUGAAAAUUUUCCAAAAAGUAAAUGAUAAAAAAAUAACAUAUCACCAAUUCAAUAUCAUUAAAAAUUAAAACUCAGCCAAUCCUUUUUUUAUUUUUUUUUUUUUUGCUAGUCAUUUUUACUGGAAUUUCUUUAUCCAGAUGUGAUGUUUUUUUUUUUAAUUUUUCAUUUGGUUUUUAAUACUAUUUGAUUCUACUUUCCCAUUAUUUUAAAGUUUCAUUUUUCUUUCACAGAUUUUUUUGUUAAUUUAUUUAUUUUGAACUCUCUCAGUUACUAUUUAUUCAAUUGUAUGUUAUAGAAAAACUGAUGAGUACUAAUUGUUUGAUGAAAACUUUGUUAGAAAUAUUUCUUAAACUAUGUUAGGUUGAAAUUGUAAAAGAAUAAAUUUUUUUCAUGAGAUUUUUAUUGCAGUUAUAGUAAUUUUUGCUAUAAAGAUUAAAUAUAUUAUGAAAUAGUAAGUACAUGUUUUUCAAUUAUUAUUUUAAACAAAUUUUAAUUAAUUUUUUCCAUAUUAAUUAUGAAAUAGUUACACCAUUUUGUUAUGUUUGUCGUUCAAUUUUUUUUUAUUAAUUACAAUAUUUGCAAGGAAAAAAAUUAAACCCGAUUCUUUGAAUUAGAGAAAACAUGGACCAAUCAUUGGGUGAAUGAGAGAAGCAAAGGUUGUAAAUGAUUUCAUUACAAUUUUGUCCCAUUUAAUAUCUUAAAUUUAGUUGUUUUCAUUUUUACUAAGAUCAAAUUUUCAUGUUCUCACUUUUCCCAUCCAUCUCUUGAUUUUUUUUUCAGCUUACUAAGCCUUAAACCAAGUACUUGAACUAUACAUGGUAGAUGAUUUUUUUUUUCUCUUUUGUCAUAAAUUUCACAAGUUUUAAGAUUUGAGAUGAAAUAUUAAAUUAAAAAUCUCAAAUUUAAUUAUAAAUAUCUCUUAUUGUACUACGGGCAAUACUUUUGUAGGUUAACACUGUUAUAUUUUUAAAUAACUUAAUACAAUGUAAUCAGUAUUUUAUUUUUUACUCUAACCAUUCAAAUAUUUAUUAUACUAAUAAAAAUAAAUCUUAAUUUUUUUUAUCAGAAAUUGUUUUUGAUGGAGAACCCGAAGUGGAGUUGGUCCUACAAAGGUAAUAAUCGCGAGAAGCGGAGCCAGCUCAUACUUUACAAUUAUUGUACUUCACUGGCAGCUUUAACAAAAGGAGCUGCUACGGGUAAAUGGGUUGUAAACAAGCACUCCUUUUACUUUUUAAUUAUUUUAUUUAAAUUUUCAGGUAAAUCUUUUUAAAUUAUUACAUUGGUUUCAUGUCUUCAUGUGUGCAAGGGAGGAUUUUUUUUCUUAGUCAAAAUAAUACAAUUUUAUUAAUAUUACUGUUAUUUCAAUAUAAUUGAGAUAAAUAAAUAAUUAGAAAAAACAUAAACAGAGUAUAAAAUCAAAGACUCGUUCAAGAUACAAAAAAAUAAAAUCAAAUUAGCACCUGUUAUUCCACACUUCCACCGAGUGUAGGUAUAUAUUUGAUCUGUCAACAUCAAAUUUAGUUCAAGAAUCUGUAAAAGAAUUAGUUUCUCUAAAAGGAUAUUAUGGGAGGAAAGGUAGGAGCAAUCUAUUUUAUCAUUUCUUAGUUCUUUAAGUUAUGUUUGCAAGACAUGUCAAGAUUUUGAAAAGCUAUAUCACACGUUUGAAACAAUUUUUAUUUCCUACUGAUAAAUGCAUCUUUCUUUUGGGUAUUGAUAAAUGCAUGUAAUAUGCUAUAAAUUAAAUCCAAUAUUUUGAAGGGCAUGGUUUCAUUUGCUAUGAUUGAAAUAUGGGAAGUUUAUUAGGUAUUGAGUGUGUUACGGAAAUUCUGAAAUUAUCUCUUAAGAGGACAGAACUGGAUAAACUAUAAAUCUAAAAUGGAAAGUAUAAGAUAGAAGGACAGAGCUGGAUAAAGGCAAGGCAAUGCAUGUAUAGUUCAGUUUUCGUAUUGAGUCCCCCAUUUCCUCAAUUCUCUUUUCUGGAUGAUUUUCAUCCAUAACAGAACAGAAAGCAGACAGUCCUCAAGAAAGCUGCAAAAGCAAGACCGUCACCUUAGUUAAUGACCAACAAGAGAUCUUGUGAUCGUUGAACUCCCCAUUUGGCAAGGUCGUUUGCCAUCUCGUUUGCUGAGCUUACAAUGUGGGCAAUUUUCCAUCUUUCCAGCUCUGAAGUUUAAGGCUUGAAGAAUAAAAUUCCUCAUCGUCCGUGGAAUUGCCUGUGCAUGUAAAAUUCAGUUAACCGCAUUUGGAUUAACGAGCAGUUCUGUAAGAUUCGAGUCCAUAGUGCCAAUUGACUUAAAGAACAAUCAACAAAACAAUAUCAGCCUUCGAUGGUGGCAGCACCAGGCUUGCCCCUCAAUGAUCCGUCAACCUUAAAUUUGGAAAUUUACUCUGAAACAAAAGAAAAUUUUUUGUCACUUCAUUUUUACUAUUCACUUUUUAUUUUUUUCCCAAAAUUUACCAUAAAUAAACAAAAUCAUAAAAUAAUUUAGUACAACUAAGACUUGAAACUAGUUGAGAAGCAAAGAAACCAAAAUGAUUUUACUAGGGGGUGGACUGAUCUGAUUACCAUUACCAUGUUCCUAAAAUUUCUCAUAUUCUUGGCUACUAUAUUGAACUGGUUGAGUAACUUGUCAAACUUUAAAUCUUGUUUUUAUUUUAUUUUUAUAUUUGAGCAUGAAGUUGAAUCUCAGUAGCAAGGUAUAAUGGUUUUCUUUCAACUAGGAAAGUACGUGGGAAACUUCAACCCAUCAACAAGUUGACCCAUGUUCAUUAGAAAUUUGCCUCCUUAUCCCAUGCAGAAAGGUUGUUUCCUGAUAUCGUUAGUCAUAAAAGUUUAAAUUCAUUAGGAAGCCAUGAGUCUUUCACCUGCUCAUUCCUUGUCGUUGAGGGCCAUGUCGGCCACAUUCUUUGUUGUAAGACAAUUUUUCAAGUCAUCACACCGCCUUGUUAAAUCCGUCUUGCAACCGCCUACCCGCUUAGGUGAAAAUUAUUGGAGCCUUGGAUAUGCACAAGUAUCCGGAGUCUAAUUUGGUUCACAUUUAUACAACAUUUAGGGUACGCGUUAUUUUUCUUUUUAGCACAAAAAGCAAGAAGUUGACCAGAUUUGUCAACAGUUAAGUAGUAUUACUCAGAUAUCGUCUGCUCCCAAUGGUUUGAUGUAAGCAGUAUUGUGAGCUCAGUUUUGUGUUUUUUUUUUUUUUUUCUCUGCCAAAAAGUGGGAUUUUAUAUAUAUGUAAAGCACUGAAAGAUACAGUGAUGGGUAUAGCUUAUAGCUACCCACAAAGUUAUCGCACCUGAUAACACGUAUUGGCACGUACAACAGUAUGCCAAAAUAUUGAUGAUUACAGCAGUAAAGCCAAAAUAUUGAUGAUUACAGCAGUAAAGCUCAUAUAUCCCACCUAAACCAAGCUAAACGAAAUAACAAGGGAACGUAUAAUCAACGGCGUUAAGCUACUGUAAAACACAACAGUGAAAGUCACCACGACGCUGAGAACAUAGAAUCGCUAUCCACACCGAGCUUAGCUCAGUUUUGUGUUGAUGAUGACUUUGUUUCAAACAUGCUGGUGUAGCAGCAGUAAUCAUCUGGGUUCACGUACUUGGUCCUUUGACCCUGCUUUGCUCAUUAAUAUGGGGAGAUACAGAAAGAGAGAAAUGGAUUAUAAAAUGCCAAGGGAAGUGGAUUAUGGUAGUAACAAAUGCUAUGAGAUCUCGAAACUGUCGGGGGAGGAGAUGAUCUUUCUGAUUACAGUGGAGAUUUGGCGUCAGGAUUCUUAUCAGGAAUGGGGAGUUUCUUUAAUUUAGUACCAAUUGAUAAGCAUACGUAUCAUACGAUUAUAUUGUUAAUAUUUACACAAGUGAAUACUAAUGCUGCCUACGUUUGAUGAACUACAUUCUCUUUAGUAUUUAUAAUACAAUGUCAGAUACGACAAGGCCUCGGGUACCAAUUCCUUCAACUCGGGAUGCUGUGAAACUACGUGCCUGUGCAGACUACCCUUUCUAGUUACUAAUUGUUUAAUGGCAGUCCUGACCCUGGCUUCUUCCAUAGCGGCGCUGUAAUCAGUAUUCACGGCAAGGUAGCAGAUAAGCACCAAUCCAUGCAGCUGCUGUGUCCUUUCACCAUCUCUCAGCAAUUUCAUCAAAGGCUUUACGGCGUUGAACUCGAUCAUUGUCUUUGAAUGCUCUUUGCAAAGAUAACUGCCUGGAUAGGCAAACUUUUUUAAAGCAACGAUAGCUUCCGUUGCCACUUCUUGGUGCACAUUGACAAGCUGCGACACCAAAACACUAAUCAUAUGAGGACUUUCUCUUUCUUUGAAAAUUCUCGCUAAGGAACCGAUCGAUUUGAUGGCAGGAAGUUGAGGGUGAUCCGCUGAUUCUUUAAUCACCCUUAAGAGCUGUUCAACGAUAGCCUUUGCACCAGGAGAAUUGGUCUUAAAUGUUUUGCAUCGAAGAUCGAGAUCAGAUUCGGCUGCGGCAGUGAUUUUCAUUAUAAUCAUCAAGCAAUUGUACUGGAAUUCACCAUCCUCCGCUUCCACCAACUUAGCCAAGCAAAACAUUAAUUCUUCUGUCUCGUCUAUCAUCCUACUACUAUUUAGAACACUUCCAACGUUUAGCAUCGAUAAAGCUUCCGCACAACAUAUUUUCAGCUCAGGUGGAGAAGUUUCACUCAGCAUUGGGGCUAGCUGCCAAAUCAAUUUUUCUGUAACCAUGCAAGACCAGGCCGAAAGCGUAGAUGAAUCGUUGCAGAGGAAUUGAGGCAACGAGAGAAAGAUUUCAUCAAAGGCGCUGCCGAAAUAGGGGCUGUACAAGAUAAGAAGACACUUCAUGGAUUCGAUAGAGACGUCUAAAAGGUGGUAGAGCUUGUGGAGAGUGGCGUCUAAUUUUGAUCUUGUGCCGGUGAAGAGUCGACAAACGAUGGUUUUGCGUCUACACUUGCAGGCCAGGGUUAAGGCCUCCUGAAGGAUCUUGGACACCUCUCUGAUAACACAAUCAAUUGGGUUCAAUUUAAACAAUAUCGGAUCCAUGGUGAUGAAGCAGACCAGGUUGUUUAGCAUUUGCGAGAGCUGAACCACUCGCUUUUCCAUCUCCCCGCGGUCUAUCCUGAACGAUUUGGCCUGAUCAACCGCCUCGCCAACUUGCUUCGCUAGUACUAUCAAGAGCUGCUCGAUUAGCAUCUUCUGAUCAGACUGCAUCAUAUUCGUAGCUCAGUCACUGGUUAACCCAAGGAUUGAAUCACU